UUUUCCAUUUAUUCGGUUCGGUUCGGUUUAAAACCGAACCGACCGAAUGCUCACCCCUACCUACCUAUAACUACGUGCUAGCUAAAUUUAUUAUUGAAAAUAGUCAUCAACAAACCUAGAGGCUGAACUACCUUUGCAUUUACACUCAUCCAAACAUAUGUCAAAAAUAUUCAUGCCUAUAAAAACCUACUAAGAGAGAAGCACCACUCCAUUACUUUCCUCUUCUGAUCUUCUUCUACACUUUUCUUUAAUGGCUUCUUCCCAUUUCGUGAUCUUCGUUAUAUUGUUAACAUUGUCGUUUUCAUGCAUUGGUGUUGCGACAGCAGGUCGUCGGCUGCAGCAACUGUUUGCCAACUUCCCUCCAUUGGAUCUUCCUCCAUUGCCUAAAACUCCAAAUGAUUUUCCUGUGCCACCAGUUGUGAAGUUGCCUCCUGGGCUGCUUCCUUCUAGACUUCCCUAUUCUUUUUUUCCCUUUCCACCAGCUGCUCCUUAAUUCAUUUUCCCACAAGGCCAUGAGAUUGGACAAGUGUGUUACCAAUACUAGUGAUCAAAAUAAGUGUCUUCAAUUAAUAAAUGUCCAUGAAUGUGAUGUAUAAUUGUCUAUUCAAUUAAUAAAUGUCCAUGAAUGUGAUGUAUCAUGUGGCCAUUUUAUCUUGGUUUGUAAUUUUUUAGGCCAGGUACAAUGCUUUUUUUUUUUUUUACCUUUAAUUAUAAAUCGCAUUUUAUCAAACUCUAUUGAAUAUAUAAUUUAAUUCUAGAGAGAGAAAAAUGAGGAGUCGAAAUUACAUAAAUCCCCAUAUCUAAGACAGACCAAUGAGGAGCUGACCAAAGAAAAUCUUAAUACAGUGACAAAGUCAUCUCAGCGAGUUAGCCCUUACUCUGAUAAUGCGUCUGCAACUGAGUAUACAUCAUAAAGAGUAUGGCAAAAACAAUUGGAGGCAUAGCAUCCGUACAUUCAAUAAUGAAAUUAGUAGAUGAAGUAUAUUGGUGGAGGGAUGAAUCUGGAUAAGAGACACAUGGAGUUAUUCAUGCAUCAGCCCUUCAACUUAGAGCCUGUUUGGCAUGAGUUUGGACGCCAGAAACAUAGUUUUUAGAAAAAGCUAAAAGAAUACUUUGUAUUCAUGUGGUGAACGAGUGUCAUGUUUAUUGCAGGGAAAAGAAUAAGGAAGCUACUAUUGAGAGCUGAAGUUAACAAGGACUUGCUGCUGUUGGCAGCUGAGUGAUAUUUGCUGCAACAAAUUUUCUUUAUUAAGUAAAUGAAAUUUUUGUAUAAGACAAGAUAUGUAAUCAUACUUAAGUAUGAGUUUGUUGAUUUUGUAAAGGUUUUUCUUUACCUAUAAAAGGAAGAAAUUGUGCUGUAAAAGUAAGGAGAGAAAAGAAAAAGAGAGAAGUGAUUUUCUAUAAAAGUAUUAUGAAAAGAAGAAAAAAAAAAAAAGAAAAAAUUUCUUUAUAUUACUCUAUUUUUCUUUAUUGAAAUUUCAUAUUUAUUUUCUCUUCUUCAUGUCCUCUUUUUUGUUAUGGUAUUUUCAAUAUUUUAUUAUAUAUUUGUUAAAGUUGAAAUUUCAACAUUUGAUUUUUAUUUUUGUUGCUGAACAUUUUAUAUUUUUAUAUAAAAUCGUGAUAUUCUGUUUUUCUUUUUCUGGGUUAUUUUUGUCUGAUUUUAAAUAUUCAUUUUCGUUUUUGAAUAUCUAAUUUCAAUUGUACAUAUCUAUUUUUUUUACACAUCUAUUUUUCAUUAUAAAUCGAACAUGUUAUCAAAACUUCCUUUUGUUUUUCAACAAUAGUAUUAGAGCUUAUUUUUAUUUUCAACCGUGGUAUCAAAUCUUCCUUUUAAUUUCAACAGUGGUAUUAGAGCUUAAAUGAUUUUUAAGGGGUUUUUUUUCAAAGUUUUUACAGCUGUAUUUUGUUGGGAUGAAGUUUAUUUUUUAUCAAGAUAGUUGUUUUUCCUCCAUUUUCAUAUUUGAACAAGCUAUGAGAGCUUGAUUUUCUAUCUCUUUGUUUGGAAGGUUUUCUAGAUUUGUAUGAAAACUGACCAGUCUAUAAACGUAAAAUACUUUGUUGAAGAGACCCGCAUGUCUAUAAACUGAUCUAAAUUUGUAAGAGACCUUCAUGUCUCUAAACUGAUCUAAAUUUGUGAGAGACUCACAGAUCUAAAUUUGUUUCAGACUUUCAUGUCUUUAAUUAAACUAUAUUUCAGACCGACAUGUCUCUAAACUGUAAAAUCUUUAUUGAGACCGACAUGCCUUUAAACUGUAAACAAUUUGUUGAAUGGACUGACAUGUCCAUAAACUGUAACUAUAGAAAUUUUUGUUGAAGGGACCCGAUGCAUAUCCAUAAACCGCUGAAUUUACAAUCUUAUUGUUGAAAGGCUCUUAGUAAUUUCCUUUUAUGAUUUGCUGUUUGAGAAGAAGUAGCGAAAAUCAGCUGAGAUUGUUUUGUUUUUUCUCAGUUUUAUACUGGUUUUAGAUAUCUAGUUUUAAUUCUAAAUAUCUAAUUUCAGUAUUUAGAUAUCUACUCUCUUUACUAAUUUUUUAAGAGUGGUGAAUAUUUAGUUGCAUUUAAGGAGAAGCUCCAAAAUUUACUGCAAAAAUCUCAAGGAGUGUUGGUGUUGAUAUAUUUGCUACAAUAAGUUUUCUUUGUUGAAUGAAGCAAAAAACAUUUUUGUGUGUAAAACAAAAAAAGUGUAAUAUACCUAAGUAUGAGUUUAUUGAGUUUGUAAAUGCUUCUCUUUUGCUUAUAAAAAGGAAGAUAUUAUGCUGUAAAAGUAAGAAGAGAAAAGAAAAGAGAGAGAAGUGAUUUUCUGUAAAAGUAUUCUGGAAAGAUGAAGUUGAACUUGAAGUUCCAGUAUUUGAUCUUUGCUUUUAUUACUAGACAUUUGAUAAUUUUAUAUAGAAUCGUGAUACUAUGUUUUUCUAGAUUAUUUCUGUUUGGUUUUAGAUAUCCAUUUUCUGUUUUUGAAUAUCUAAUUUCAGUUUUAGAUAUCUUUUUUUCAUUUUAAAUUGAAUAUGGUAUAAGAGUUUUCUUUUAUUUUUCAACAAUGGUAUCAGAGCUUAUUUUUAUUUUCAACAGUGAUAUCAGAACUUCCUUUUCAAUUUUAACAGCUACAACUUGUGGCCUCAAAGAUAAAGAGUGUUGAAGGAUUUACUGCAACUUCAAAAGAGCCUUUCUAUUAUAGGUCGACUGCAUUAUGUAGUGGAUGCUAAAGAGGCUAGAGUUGCUAAUCUAAAGCAAAAAGAAAUUAUGUGAUUGUAGAAAGAGCACAUUAUUAGGAUCAUUUGGUCAAUUGCCCUCUCUCCAAGCAUAAAUGCUAUAAAAUAUGAUGGUCAACGUUUAAUUUUUGCUGCCGCCUAUAUAAAUUCAUGAUCACUUUUCUAAAAGUAAAUUUCGAGACAGACUUUUAAAAAAGUGACAAGAAUCGUAGUCUUGUCACAAUGUUCGAUGCAAAAAUUUCACCAUUCAGAGAAUCAAUUUUACAUUUUAAUUAUUUAUUGGAUAUUUUCAUAAUUUUGUAUAUUAUGAUCUUUUUUUUAUUAUAAAUAGUCUUUCUUAAUUAUUUGAAAUCCACCUUUCAAUUUUUGAAUAAUUUCAAUAAGAUUUUUCAGUUUUUAGUCUAUAUUUUCUUUUAUGUCAUCUUAACUAAAAGAUAUAAUUAAAAUACCCGAUGGAGUCUAAUCAGUGGUUUAUCGUCAAGACUCCUAGUGUUAUUCAUAACUUUGAUUAAAAACUCCAAUAAAGAGAAUUGCAACCACUGCUGAACCCAGUUCAAAAAAUUAAACCAAACACACAGAAUUCCCUAGAUGAACCAUUAGCAUCAAUAUCCACCUAAUUAGAAUCUGACAUUCCCCAAGCAGAUCUAAACAGAGAAAAAGAAACUAAAGACACGCUGCCUUUCGCCUCAAGAAUGAAAAUCAUGACAACAUUGCACUUAGUAAUCAAGACACUCAAAAGCGGUUAUUACCAUUACCUCCCAAACCUAUAAUAUUCCAUGACAGAAAGAGGGCAUAGGAACAGAAAAAGAGCUGAGAAAAUAACUCUCCCAAAAAUAAGUGGAUCCAAGCAAGAAGACGCAUCAAUCAAAAGAAGACAGAAUCCUUCAAGGACCACCAAGAUGCCUAAAAAAAGACGAAAUCUGAUGCCUUAACUUCAUAUUGCACCUUCACACAAGUGAAUGUCCUUUGAGAUUUUAUCGGCAAGAUCAGCUACAAUAAGAGAUUCAUUACAGACUUCCCGAAAUUGAUCGUAUGCAAAGCUUCAAAUGUGGGGGAGACAACACAUGAACGCUUUGAGGAUUUUGUAAAAUGGGCUUUAUUGCUUUUGAUUAUAUUACUAUCAGAGGCCACAAAGGAUCCAACAGAAGCACCACGAGCCUUUAAAGCCUUUAAAGCUUUUUUCCUCCCUCCUGAUCCUAAUUAUGGAAACAGAGCACUAAGGUCAAUUAUUGGCCUGAACUUGGAUCUUUUCUUUAGAAUUCUAGUGGCCUUAUAUGAGGUUAAGGGCACAUUGCUAUCUAAACUUGGGCUUGACCCAUCACUAUCCUUAGAACCAUCUGAUUCUUCACGAAUAGAUGAAGACACAAAAUGAGAGGAGGACAGGUCAUUACUCCUUUCCGACUAUUUUGCCGCAUCAAAAGAAGAAUUAAGAGGAGAAGCACAUCCCAAGACCUUUUCAUGCAAACCAACACUCGUGUUUGCCAGCUCAUGAUGAGUAUCAACAUCUGAAAGGUCAUUUUGGAAGCUCUCAUAUGCAGCAACAGAAUCCACAGCAUUCCCAGGUUCAUUCAAAACAUUCACCUGAGAAAUAUCAUCCGAGUUACCAUCGCUACUUGAAGACUGAUCACAAACCGAGUGUGUUUUCUCUUUUGAUGGAUAAGAGGUUGGUAUAGGGCCACUAGAAGACCUAUAAUUUUUUAUAAAAGACAAAACAUCACCAACUUCUUCACCUACAGAGAUGUGAAAAUGAUAUUCACCCAUUUCAACUGCAAAAAUUUUAUUAUUGAAAUACUCAAGAUUAUCAAUAAUGACCAAGAUUCUAGCAACAUCCAUGUUUUGCUUUGAGAUUGUAGAACUAUCAAUAGCAACCAAAAGUUCAAUCUUUUCACUAAACCAUUUAAAGAAAUGCGAUGACCAAGCUUGUAAGGGAACAACAUACAAUCUAAGCCAAGCCAGAUGCUUACUCUGUGCAAAAGAAGAAUUGUAAAGGUGAAUAUUGAUCAACCAACUGCUCAACCAUUCCGCAUCAUUACAAACAAAGCCAUCCAUAAUCUCCGAGCUUUUAUCACCCCCUAAAGGAAUGAUUUUUAUAGUAAAAACACCCUCCUUAGAAAAACGUACAUGUAUACAGUACAAAGAGUUCACAUUGAUGGCAGUUGCAAUAGCAGUCCAGAGAGCCAUUCUUCAUUCACAGAUUUAAUAUCUUCUGGUACCUCAUAAGAGCCAAGAGAUUUGUAUGAAAUACACUGACCAGCCCGGGGCAGAUAUCAACAUCUUAUUUUCUAUGUUAUUUCUCACAAUAGGGGGUGAACGAAAAGGCUCUUCCUGAUAAGAAUUCUUGGCAUUUCUAUCAACAGACUGAGACCAUCUUUUAUCUUGCAGAAUCACAUCCUUAGAGAAAUGUGAUGUAGCAGCUCUGAGCUUAUACAAUCCAAUCCACAAGAAAUUGAGAGUUCUAAUAAAAUUGUGCAUGAUGGCUAUUGAGUCAACACGAACAAAGGCAAAACGUUUGCCUAAUUUGGUUAAUUUUCUUGGAAAAAGAGAUCAACCACCCUUACAAACUUGGAAAUAAUUUUCCUAAGGAAAACUGCAUGACACGUUGCGGGAAAGUUUUCCAAGUAAACGGUAGGUAAACUUCUGGGUCGAAGGGAACAUCGGCUAGAGGAUGGAGCAUCACGGUGGUUAGGGGGCUUUUUGUAAAUUUAAGAGUGGAAGAUUUUUUAUUUAUAAAUUUAGGGUUAGGAUAAAAAUAUUUGCGGAUUUGAGGUUGGGGUGACAGGUGGCAGCCGAAAAGCUUAUUUAGCGCCUGUUUGACAGGCGCCGCCAAAGCCUGGCGCAACUUUAAGUAGCCCCAGACCAUUAUUUUAUUUUUUUAUUUUUUUUAAAUGAUCCGGUGCCACUUAUAAUGGUGUCAGACCAUUAUUUUUUUAAUUUUUUUUUAAAAAAUGGCCUGCGCCACUCAACGAGGCCUUAAUUUUUUUUUUUAAUUUUUUUAAUUAUUAAAAUAUUAUAAUUAUAUUAAUUAAUAUAUUAUUUUUAUAUUAUAUUUUUAUUAUAAUAAUAUUUUAUAAUAUAUUUUAUUAAUUUGAAUAUAUUUUUAUAAUAAUAUUAUAAUUAAAUAAUAUUAAUUAUAAAUUUAUUUAUUUGAUAUUAAAUAUGUNNNNNNNNNNNNNNNNNNNNNNNNNNNNNNNNNNNNNNNNNNNNNNNNNNNNNNNNNNNNNNNNNNNNNNNNNNNNNNNNNNNNNNNNNNNNNNNNNNNNNNNNNNNNNNNNNNNNNNNNNNNNNNNNNNNNNNNNNNNNNNNNNNNNNNNNNNNNNNNNNNNNNNNNNNNNNNNNNNNNNNNNNNNNNNNNNNNNNNNNNNNNNNNNNNNNNNNNNNNNNNNNNNNNNNNNNNNNNNNNNNNNNNNNNNNNNNNNNNNNNNNNNNNNNNNNNNNNNNNNNNNNNNNNNNNNNNNNNNNNNNNNNNNNNNNNNNNNNNNNNNNNNNNNNNNNNNNNNNNNNNNNNNNNNNNNNNNNNNNNNNNNNNNNNNNNNNNNNNNNNNNNNNNNNNNNNNNNNNNNNNNNNNNNNNNNNNNNNNNNNNNNNNNNNNNNNNNNNNNNNNNNNNNNNNNNNNNNNNNNNNNNNNNNNNNNNNNNNNNNNNNNNNNNNNNNNNNNNNNNNNNNNNNNNNNNNNNNNNNNNNNNNNNNNNNNNNNNNNNNNNNNNNNNNNNNNNNNNNNNNNNNNNNNNNNNNNNNNNNNNNNNNNNNNNNNNNNNNNNNNNNNNNNNNNNNNNNNNNNNNNNNNNNNNNNNNNNNNNNNNNNNNNNNNNNNNNNNNNNNNNNNNNNNNNNNNNNNNNNNNNNNNNNNNNNNNNNNNNNNNNNNNNNNNNNNNNNNNNNNNNNNNNNNNNNNNNNNNNNNNNNNNNNNNNNNNNNNNNNNNNNNNNNNNNNNNNNNNNNNNNNNNNNNNNNNNNNNNNNNNNNNNNNNNNNNNNNNNNNNNNNNNNNNNNNNNNNNNNNNNNNNNNNNNNNNNNNNNNNNNNNNNNNNNNNNNNNNNNNNNNNNNNNNNNNNNNNNNNNNNNNNNNNNNNNNNNNNNNNNNNNNGCGCCACUUUGAGUGGCGCCAGGCCAUUUCUUUUUUAAAAAAAUUUAAAAAAAUAAUGGUCUGGCGCCAUUGAGUGGCGCCAAACCAUUUAAAAAAAAUAAAAUAAUAAAAUAAUGGUCUGGCGCCAGGCUUUGGCGCCUGUCAAACAGGCGCCAAAUAAACUUUUCGGCUACCAUCUGUCACCCCAACCCCAAAUCCGUAAAUAUUUUUAUCCUAAUCCUAAAUCCACAAAUAAAAAAUCUUCCACCCCUAAAUUUAUAAAAAGCCCGUGGUUAGGUUGGACUGGAGAGGGUUGAGUAGGAUAUAAAGAGGUGUUAGGUUGAGAGGCCAUACAGUGCACCUAGGAAGAGGCGGUUCGAGUUAAAUCUUAAUAAUUUUUAGACACUUUUAUUUUUAGACGGUAAUAUAUCUAUUAUCUUUAUAAUAUAUUAUAUUUUAAUAUACAUUGAAAAAUUGAAAUCAAACAAGUCCAUCAAUUCGAAGCAAACACCAUAAAUUGCGGAGUCCCAAAACCUCAAUAUUCCUUGUGCAUAAAUAUCCAAUUCCUAAACCAUGACUGACUUCAGUUUCCACUUCUAGUCUCGCUUCCCCUGCUUAAGCCUAAUCUACUGAAAAUUGUUCAAAAAUCCAUUUUGGCUCAUCCACCUCUAGAAAAUGGCUUGCUUUCAUUAUGCAAUGAUAAUAGCUAUUCUCUUUAUUCCUCCAUUUUUAAGCACUAACAAUAAUGUGGCUGCUGCUCGUUUUCGUCCAGACAAGGCCAAGAAAUCAUAACCAUUGUCCAAGUUGCGGGGUCUGCCUCCCUUGCCUAGGCCUAAAUUGCCUCCUGUCACCAAUCCUAGUUUCCAUAUCACCCACAUCGCCACCACCUCAAGAUGUAUCACAACCACCUCCUCCUCCUCCUGGAUUUGCUUUUACACCUAUAAUACCACCAACACUAGCUCCAUCAGAAUUACCACCAUCACUACCUCCAUCAGAAUCACCACCGCCAACUUCCUUAGUCCCCUCAAAACCACAAGCGUUGCUACCGACCUCAAUCAUACCACCUUCUCCUUCUCCUCAAUUUGCAUUUACACCCGUAAUACCACCAACUUCAACUCCAGCAUCACCAACUUCGUUGGUUCCCUCGAAACCACCAGCAUUGCCACUGACCUCAAUAGUAUCACCCCCUUCUCCUCUUGGAUUUGCGUUUACACCUAUAAUACCACUAGAAAUAGCUCCAACACCACCAACUUUCUUAGUUCCCUCCCAACCACCACUAUUGCCACCAACCUCAACAUUCUCACCCCCAGACACUUUCUUAGUGCCUAAAAAACCACCGGAACCAGCUCCGUCAUCUUAGAAACCAGCUCCACCAACUUUCUUGUUUCCCUCGCAACCACCACUAUUGCCUCCAACCUCAACAUUCUCACCCCUAGACCCUUUCUUGGUGCCUACAGAACCACGAGAACCAAUUCCGUCAUCUCAGAAACCAGCUCCACCAACUUUUUUAUUCCCCUUCCAACCACUACUAUUGCCACCAACCUCAAUAUUUCCACCCCGGACACUUUCUUGGUGCCUACAGAACCACCGGAAGCAGCUCCGUCGUCUCAGCAACCAGCUCCAACUUUCUUGUUCCUCUCCCAACCACCAUUGUUGCCACCAACCCCAACACUCCCACCUCGGACACUUUCUUGGUGCCUACAGAAUCACCGGAACCAGCCACCCCACCUGCAGAAAUCUCCAUUGGCUGCUAACCCUACAUCGCAUCCAAGAAUAUCCCACAAAGUAAAAUUUUCUGACAUGAAUCCCGUGAUCUCUAGAACCCAACUGAAAAUACUUGAAUUGCGUCCUUAGCCCGUAAGCACGAGCAUAUAAUAUCUAGUAUUCCGACAUUAUAGGAUGUUCUUAUGGUAUGCUUGUGUAAAGCCUUAAUGUCUCGGCUGUAUCCCAUGGCUUGAGAGGUUAAUGUGCCUCUGCAAGAAUUGUAUCACAAAGGCAUAAUAAAGUUAUCAAAAUUAUUUGUCAUGUCUGUAAAAUCAGUUGAAUGAGAUGUUAAUUAUAUAUAAAUUGAAGGUUUCUGUUUGGGUUUUGUAAGAAAAAAAAAAAUUCAAAGGAACCGUUACCAAAUUAUGUAUGAAUUUAAUUUUUUUUAAAUGAAAAUUUUAAAUUAAAAUUUUUUUUUUUCAUUUAAAAUUAGAGAAUCGAUAAAAAAAAAUAACUUACAUUGAAUUUUUUUUCUUAUUUUCAAACUAAAGACGAUGGAUAAAGACCUAAAGAAAAAGCAAAAGAAAUGUUUUAUUCUAUUCUCAUCAGGUGGAAGUGAAAUCAACAAGUUUCAGGGGAGAGGAACCUUUAAAUGAUCCUUUUCCUCUCCAUGAAAUUGGGAUAUUACAAAGUUCAUACAAACACAAAACCAACAAAGCCACCACUGACAUUCUUCAUUCAGUGAUACAAACCAACAAAAAGAUUUUGCUACUGAAAUUCAAACACAAAAUCAUUCACACAUAAAAACAAGCCAUCCAACAUAAACAAGGGAAGUUCUUUCUCUCUUCUUUUGUAGGUUUCUCUGUUCUUCUCAACUCCACCAUUGAUGCACAGCAAUUCCUUUAUCUCUCAGCCUGCCAUACAAAGCCAAACACUCCCAAUAAGCUCUCUUGCUUCUCUUCUCUUCCCCAUUGUGCCACUGAUUCUCACACUCUAGAAAUAGUUCGUCCACCAAAUCAAUAGUCUUCCUCCUUAUCAUCUCCUCCACCACUUCUGCUUCUGCCUUCAUUACAACAAACUCAUCUUGCUUCACAUUCUUCAUUAACCAAUCUGAAACAUCAAUGCUUGGUGCCACUGUUUUUGACACUCCUUCAAGCACCAUUUCAAUGUUGUAUAUCUCGAAGUUUUGAUUCCUAGUUGGAUAGUUCUCAUGAAACCAUGCCAUUACCCUGUCCUUCUCCUCUUGCAAGCUCACAUCAACAAAAACUCGACGCGGAUAAUCUUCUAAAGAAUCCCCUAACAAAUCAGGAAAAUAGUUGAAUUUCUUCAAGAAUUUCCUAUGCAUUGGGGGCUCAAGCAGAACAUCUUCCAAGCCAUCCAAUGAUGCUUUCUUCGCCUCCAAUGACAACUCACAGAGCUGCCUCCUCGAAUAUGAAGAAUCCACCAGUUCAUUUGCUAAACUAGUCUUUUUCAUUGCCACAAUGGUUGAACUAUAACGCCGAAGAUAAACAAGUCUAUAGUUUGAUUUCUUUUGGAAAGCAUUUGGAAGGUCAGUCAAUUGAGUAACCAGAACACCACCAACUUUCACAAUUUGGUCCAGGAAUUCAAAAUCUUCAAUCCCAAAUCCAAAUACAAAAUCAAAUGAUGCAUCAUGGAACAAUACUUGUUGCCCCAGAUCAGAUGCCAACACCAAUUCAAUUUCAUUGGCAUUCAAGAAUCUUAAAUUAUCAAUUACAGCACCGAUGCCGGCGCUUACAAAGAAAGCUUUAUCGCCCUUCUUGAUAAGGCCCUCAUUGGCCAAAUCUAGCAAUAGCGACUCCAAAUAUUCAACAGCAAUCAAAUCAGAAUCAAAACCUUGCGUGUGCAGAUUAUAAUUAGAAGUUGAAGAAAGUUCCUUUAAAAUGGAACCAAUGCAAGGUAACGUAAGAAGAAAAACAGCUAAAAAAACCGAGCGAGACACAAUACGCAGAAUCUGCGAAUCAGGAAGCUUAAUUACCAAGAGGGUAUCAGAAUUUAAACCAAUGCCACCAUCCAGCGAAUGCUUCAUCUUGUUCUGCUCCUUGGCUCGAUACCCGCUAGCAAAUUCCCUGACUUUUUGCCUUUCCACCUGAACUUCUCAAUACAAAGCUUUUCAAAUCUGCGUAUUUCAACCCGUAAUUGAGUGAAAAGGAACUUGUUGGCCGAUUUGGCAAGUACCCAGAUGCCAAAAGACGAUGAUGAAUCAAGAGAUUUGAAGAAACACAAAUGAAUCCAACACUACGGAAGAAAAAUAUGAUUUAGCGAGUGCAAAACCUGGACGCGGUGUGGUUUCCACCCACGAGAGCCACACGAGUAGUUCUGAUUCUACACCAAAGGAGCAUCAGCUCCUUCAUUCUCUCAAUUUCCAUUGUUUGCAAUCGUGUAUCUACACUCUCUCCCCCUCACUUUCUCAGCAACCCAGAUCAAACCAUUGCAUUACAGGCUUACACCAGGUCUGAUUUCUCAAAACCCAGAAACCGAAAAGCAAGCACCGACAAAAACCAGAGCUUGGUGAGGAGGAGGAGAGAUAAGAGAGAGGAAUAUGAGAGAAGCAGAAGAGAAAAGGCAAGUGUUUUGCAUCUGUGUGGGUGGGGUAAAGAGAAAAUUGUCAUUUAUAUGCGGAGAAAAUAUACAGAAAGAGCAAGAAAUUUGGGGGGUAAAAAUCAAAGAUGAGCUGUUUUGCCCAUUUGCUUUAAUUAGCUUCAGAAUUUCUUCAGAGAAAAAAAAAGCUUCAGAAUUUCUUCAAGGCGUGUCGUGUGAGGACAGCGUCUAUGUCUUAAGAAAUUGCUUUAAUUUGCUUCAAAGUGAAUUUUUUUCCAUAUGUAUAUAUAUAUAAUCAUAUCGUUGGAUUUAUCAUUCAUUUUUAAAAUAUAUAAAUAAAAAUAGUAAUAAUUUUUUUAAGGAAAUAUUUAAUCUUUUUAAUUAAAAAAAAUCUCUUGAAGAUUUAAUGCAUGACUCUUAUGAUUAAAAUUUGUUUGACAACGACUUUUAAAAAUAGUGUGUAGUGUUUUAACAAUAAUCAAAUUAAUCUGAUUUUUUUAAUAUAAAAAUUUAUUAAUUUUUAAUUUUUUUAAGAAAAAUUCAACUGAAAGCAUUUCAAAUAGAAUCAAUGGGUCCAUAUUAAACACUGGGACUAACAGGUAAUGCAGUUGUUUUAGCAAAAUCAGGGAUAAGCAGUUAUUUGGUUUAAAUUAACAAAAUUGAUUGAAUUGAAUUAAUUUAAAAUUUUACUUUAAUUUUUUUAUUCAUUUUAAUUCGUUUUAAUAUUUAAUUUUAGAAAUUUCGGUUAUUUUAAUUCGAUUCGAUUUUGAUCAGAAAAAAAUUAAAAAAAUCAAAUCGGACCGAUUAGUGAUAAUAAUAUAUUUUUUUAAUAAUAUAGAGAAAUUAAAUCAUAUUAAGAUUAAAAUAUUUUAAUUAAAUUUUAAAUACUAAAAUAAAGGUAAAAAAUAAAAAUUUAUUAAAAAUCAAAACCAAUCAAACCGAAUUGAAUCGAACUGAAUCAGAUCGAUUCGGUUCGAUUUGAUUUAUAAUCAAAUCAAUUCGAUUCAAUUUUUAUAAAUAUUAAAAUUUUGAUUUAUUCAGUUCAGUUUUAUUUUGAAUCGAACUGACCGAAUGCUCACUCUAAAUAAAAUUAUAAAAUUUUGUAAUAUGUAUUGAAAAAAUAAAAUUUGUUAUUUUCAAGAAAUAAUAAAUAAACAGUAUAUUAAAAACUAUAAUAUAAAAUUUGUUUUUAUAUAUAAUUAUAUUUUCUUACAUGAAAAUAAUUAUAUGUUUAUCAUGAAAUGGAGAAAUGUGUAGAGUUAUAGUAAUUAUUUUAAAAUAAAAAUAAUAUCUUUAACUAAAAUUAAAAAUAUCAAACUAAGUUCAUUGGUAUGGCUUUUAAAAACUCUCUCAAAACAUACUGAAUUUAAAUUUUCUUAAAUAUCAUUGACAACUUGUAUUAAGCAUAUGAAUUCAUUAAACCAAUCGAUUAAUAGAAAAAAAAAUCAGUUUUAACGGAUUAAUCGUUUUUAUUUUAAAUAGAAAUUAAGGAUAGAAGAAUAGAACUUGAAAUUUUUUAUAUUUAUUCUAAUACACUUAUUAUCAGACUGUGAGGGUAAUGGAUCAAUUAUUUAAUGGCUUGUUUAUUUUAUGAAAAUAAUUUUUCGAUUUUAUUUGAAAUUUAUUUUUUCUGAUUUUUUUUUAUAAAUAAGUGAGAAUGUUUAAAUAAAAAAUAUGAAUGAAUACCGUGAAUUUGUUUGUAAUUGUUUUUUAUUUAAAAAAUUAUUUAAAAAAUUAUUUAAAAAAUUAUAUAAAUUGGCCAAGUUUAUUUGUAAUCCAUUAAAUUGAUAUAACCCGAACUUUCGCUCAUUGUGAGCUAUCACUUUAGAAGAGAGUUAUGUGAUAAAUGAAAAAAAAAUUUAAAUACCGUAAUUCUCAGUGUCAAAACUCACCCUUUUUUCAAUGCGACACACUUCACAAAAAGUUAUUAUUAAAUAAUAUAAUUUAUCAAAUUUUCAUCACAUCUAUAAUUACGGGUCUAUAUCCAUUAGUCAAUACUAUUUAAAUUUUUAAAGUUCCACCUUCUUAUAGUAUAAAAAUUUAUGAAUAAAAAAAUACAUUAUUAUACAACUACUCUUAAAUUUUAAACAAUUUAUUAUACUCAUAUUUUUCUUUAGUUUAUUAACUUAAAUGUCGGAGUGAUUAUUGUAAAUUAUCUUGCGCUAUCUUUUUUACAGAUUAACCAAACACAAUUUCGUUUCAGCUCUAUCAUAAAUUAAAAAUUAAAUUUUACAAUUAAAAACAUAUUUAUCCAUUUAUAAAAAAUUUUUUAAAGCUAAUGGUUUAAAAUGUAAUGUGGAUGCACCCUUAUUUUCCAUGCAUAAUAAAAUUCUAUAUAUAGCAAAUUAGAUGUGAUAAUUUGCAGUGUUGGAUUGAGUCUUUAGAAAUAAAAAAUUUCGUAAAAGUUUAAUUUAAUUGAUUUUUUUAAAUAAUUUUUUAUUUAAGAUAAAAAAAUUCAAUUUUUUUAAUUUAAAAAAUUUUUAUUAUAAAAAAAUUGAAAUUUUUUUUAUAAAAUGAAGAAUGACAAGUAAAGAAUCAAAAUUUUAGAUUAGAUUUCAAACUUUUUUUCUUCUAAUCAAGUUUUCAUCUCAGGUUUUCCAUGUACGAAUUCGCCGUGGAGUUGACACAAGCACUAUGUAAGCACACUCCCAUUGUGAGUGAGCUCUAUAUAUGGCUAUAUCCUAGCUUGUCUAUAUUCCAACAUCUCUAUGGCCAUAUCCUAGCUUCCAUUCCAACUUUGUGUGAACUCUGAGCAGAAUUCGGUUCAAACUGAAAAAAUUGAUCGAACUAAAUUGAUUUAAAAUUUUGGUUCGGUUCGGUUUUUAAUUUCAAAAAUUUCGGUGAUUUCAAUUCGAUUCGAUUUUGAUCAAAAAAAAAUUGAAAAAAUCAAACUGAAUCGAUUAGUAAUAAUAAUAUGUUUUUUCAAUAAUAUAGAGAAAUUAAAUCAUAUUAAAAUUAAAAUAUUUUAAUUAAAUUUUAAAAUACUAAAAAUAAAGUGUAAAAAAUAAAAAAAAUUAUUAAAAUUCGAAAUCGAUCAAACCGAAUCGAAUCGAACCGAAUCAGAUCGGUUCGAUUUGAUUCAGUUUCUGAUCAAAAUCAGUUCGGUUUGAUUUUUAUAAACACUAAAAUUUCAAUUUCGAUUCGAUUUUAAACCGAACCGACCGAAUGCCCACCCUUACCUGAAGUCCUGUGAGCCCUAAAAUAAAUUUUUAAAAAAUAUAUAUAUUAUACACAAUUCUAUAUCCUCAUUUUAAUAUUUUUAUUUUGAAAUUAUUAAAUCGACGCCUAUCUUGAUUGUCUCACAAGUGGACAAAUGAUGCAAGAGGAGACUGCAUAUUAACCGAAAACUGGAAACAACUACAGCUCCAGAAUUUAAAUUAUGGGACCCAGAAAGACGUGUGUUUUUAAAUACAAAAAUUUGAAUUUUACAAAAGAUAAUAAAAAUGUUGAAUUAAGAUUUCCAAAAAUAAAAAUAAAAAUGUUGAAUUAAGCGUCAAGGUCAAAUCGAGACUGCGUAUUGGAUAAAGUCAAACAAAGUUUGUGGCGACCGACACCGUGUGGACAAUUCAACAUCCCCUUACUAUAUAAUCGCCUAAUUCUCUGCUCACUCAUCUUCAUCACCAUUUCUGUUCUCCACCUCUUCACUUAACUCAGCUACUCUCUCGCUGAUCUGAUUUGAUUUCUUCAGUUUUCGAUCCAUAAUUAAUAAUGGGUUUGAAGGGUUUUGUUGAAGGUGGUAUUGCCUCCAUCGUCGCUGGUGCCUCCACCCAUCCUCUUGAUCUCAUCAAGGUUCGCAUGCAACUUCAAGGUGAAUCCCACCUCCCCAAUCCAGCUUCCCUUCAAGCCCUCCGUCCUGCAAUCGCCUUCAACACGGUUGCUGCAGGUGCCGGCAAUAUUUCACUACCUGUAGAAAUUGCUCCUCCACCUGCUCGUGUUGGACCCAUUUCUAUUGGUGUUCGUAUCAUUCAAUCUGAAGGUGCUGCAGCCCUUUUCACUGGUGUAUCUGCCACUAUACUUCGCCAGACCUUGUACUCAACCACCCGUAUGGGUCUUUACGAUGUUCUCAAACACAAGUGGACAGAUCAAGACACCGGAAGCAUGCCUCUUCCACGCAAGAUUCUUGCCGGCCUUAUCUCCGGCGGUAUCGGAGCCGCCGUUGGGAACCCCGCUGACGUGGCUAUGGUCCGAAUGCAGGCUGAUGGACGUCUCCCAAUUGACCAACGUCGCAACUACAAGAGUGUGUUUGAUGCUCUAACUCAAAUGUCAAAGCAAGAAGGAAUUGCUAGCCUCUGGCGUGGCUCAAGUCUUACAGUGAACCGUGCAAUGAUCGUCACUGCAUCACAGCUCGCAACCUAUGAUCAGAUCAAGGAGAUGAUAUUGGAGAAGGGUGUGAUGAGUGAUGGAAUAGGGACCCAUGUGACGGCGAGCUUCGCAGCUGGGUUUGUGGCAUCGGUGGCUUCAAACCCUAUAGAUGUGAUAAAGACUAGGGUUAUGAACAUGAAGGUGGAGACAGGGGGGGAGCCGCCAUACAAGGGUGCAUUAGACUGUGCAAUGAAGACAGUGAAGGCGGAGGGUCCAAUGGCUUUGUAUAAGGGAUUUAUCCCUACAAUCUCAAGGCAAGGACCUUUCACUGUGGUGCUGUUUGUCACGCUAGAGCAGGUCAGGAAGCUGCUCAAAGAUUUCUAAUUCAAGUGAUGGUGAUCGAUGAGGGAAAUCAAAAUGCCAUAUAUAGAUAGAAAUAUGUGAAUUUUUCAGCUUCACUAUCGGGAGAAUUAUUCUUUAAUUCUUUUUGUUAGAAUUUGGAAAGGCCACUAUUAUUCCAUUACUGUAAAGAAGAAUUGAAUUUUUGAUAUAAAUUAAUUAUUACUUGAUCUCACAUUUCCAUUUGUCUAUCUUCAUAUAUAAUUGCAGAAUUCACCGCAAAUGUAAAAAAAUUCAAUUAAUCAAGGUGUUGUUCUCCUAAUGGCAUGGCUCACAGUCACAAAAUUAAAAAGAGAUUAAACCCAUCAAAAUACAUAAUCACAUCAAUAUAGAAUGCUUGUAUGAAUAUUGCUGGAGUUUUGACCUUCUUGAGUUUUGACAUCCUGCAGCUGCAUUAUAAGAGUAACAAUCACUUUUAUUUUUUUUGACAAUAACCUUACCAUAAAUUACAAGUAAAUAUUUUAUACUUCGUCCUUUUCUUUGAUACUGGUUUUUCUACGGCCACCCUUGUCUUUUCAAGAAGGGUUGACUUCUGUCACCUUGUUAUAUGUUUUUAAAUUUUUUUUAUUAUUAUUGUUUUACAUGUUGUGCUUCUUCAGUUUUUUCAUGCCUUAUUGUUGACAGAUUUAAGAGAGGAUUAACUUUUUGGGAAUGGUGAAACUCUUGGAGUCGUAUUCCGAACAUGAAUAAUGCAAUCAGUAACCCUCAAGGCCUUGGGUGCCAUAGAACUCUGGCUACUGCCCUUAGUUGGUUUGAAGCUUCGAUGCUUCUGGCCUUCAAUCAGUCUGUGCUUUAGUUUUAUUGGUUCUGGCUGUUGCCCUCAGUUGAUUUGAAGCUUCGACUUUGGUCUGGCCUUCAAUCAAUCUUUGCUUCAGUUUUAUUAGUUUUCUUGAUAAGACGCUCCAUGGCUCUUUCUACAAGUUGCAUUUGUUGUCGGGUCUCUCAACUUUUUAAGUUUUAAGGAUUUGAUGACCUUUUAGGUUUUAAGAAACCUUAUUUUAUUUUCUAUUAAAAACUACGGUUUUAAAUGAGUUGGAUUAAAAUUUUAAUUUUAAUUUUUUUCUUUAUAUUAUUAUAAAUGAUUAAAACGUAAAUACGAAUAUAAUUCAAUCAUUUGUAGUUAGAGAUUAGAAAAAAAUCUCCUCAGAUUCAAUAUGAAAACAUUUAGAGUACAUGUAUUACGCUCAAUUCAUAGAGAUUUAGAAAGCUGCUCUUAGAAUUUCAAGCUUUUACUUGAGCAGUAUAAAUUGAUAGUUUUUUAGGGACCAUUUUAAAAUUUCUAUCCAUAAAUUUUCUUUAAAAACAAAGUGACGUGCAAAGCGCACUAAUAUAUUUUAAAAUUUAAGCAAUGAUAUCUUUACGGUCAUAGUAAAAUUAUUAUUUUAAUAUUAUUAAGAUAACAGUUUGAUAAUAAUUUAAAAAUAUUUAAAAAAUUUAUUUUUUUAUUAUAUUUAAUAAUAAAUUUUAAUAAAAAAUUAUUUUAUAUUUAAUAAAAUCAUAAUUUUUACUAUAUUUUAUAUUUACAGUAAAAAAAUAUGUUUAAAGCUGAUUUAUAUUUAAUAGUGAUAUAUUUCAAAUUGUUGUUAUUAAUUUAUAAUUAUAUUUAAAAUAUACAAUAUUACUAUUUUAAAUUUAUUUUUAUAGUAGUGGUUUUUUUGCAUACUCCACCUUCCUCUACUAUUUAUAAAAAUUUAUAAAAAAUAAUAUAUAUUUAAAAAAAUAGAGUAAAAAAUUAAUGAAUCACUGUACAUGAUACAUUUAUAGAAAAUAUUUCUCUAAAACUGUUUCAUGUAGACUGAAUAUAAUAAUUACAGUGGAAUUUUUCCGAUAUUAUAAAGUUUUGAUUUCAAAAUCUGUCACAUCAAGUCAACGGUUUAAUUAUUAGUAACGUUGAUAAAAAAAAAAGUAUUAAUAACUGAAUUUUUUUAGAAGUUAUUAAUAACUGAAAAAUACUUAAUCUCAUAAUAUAACAUAUGAUUAAUCACAACUGCCCAUACGAUCAUCAAGGUAAAGGAGGGCAGACGAAAAAUAAAAAAUUAAAAAAGAAGAAUGGGUCAGUCAGUGGAACCCACUAACAUGUGAGUGAGCCAUAUGGUUGUUACACAGUUGGCCAGUUCAACAGUUCAAACUAGGAAGACCAAGAAUGGUCACAGACAACAGCACCAAUAGCGCAGAUAUAUAGAGUCAAAUGCAAUACCGUGUAUAAUUGAUCAGUCGAAUAGCACAAAGAAUUUUCUUCGAAUUUUCUCCAUAUAGAUAACGUGUGGACCAUCCUACACUCCCUCUCGGCCUCUCUAUAUAAACGCCUAAUUCUCUGCUCACUCUUCAUCUUCAUCACCAUUUCUAUUGUCUGCCUCUUCACUUCACUCAGCUUCUCUCUCGCUGAUCAGUUUUGAUUUCUUCAGUUUUCGAUCCAUAAUUAAUAAUGGGUUUGAAGGGUUUUGUUGAAGGUGGUAUUGCCUCCAUCGUCGCUGGUGCCUCCACCCAUCCUCUUGAUCUCAUCAAGGUUCGCAUGCAACUUCAAGGUGAAUCCCACCUCCCCAAUCCAGCCUCCCUUCAAGCCCUCCGUCCUGCCAUCGCCUUCAACACGGUUGCUGCUGGUGCCGGCAAUAUUUCACUACCUGUAGAAAUUGCUCCUCCACCUGCUCGUGUUGGACCCAUUUCUAUCGGUGUUCGUAUCAUUCAAUCUGAAGGUGCUGCAGCCCUUUUCUCUGGUGUAUCUGCCACUAUACUUCGCCAGACCUUGUACUCAACCACCCGUAUGGGUCUUUACGAUGUUCUUAAACACAAGUGGACAGAUCAAGACACCGGAACCAUGCCUCUUCCACGCAAGAUUCUUGCCGGCCUUAUCUCCGGCGGUAUCGGAGCCGACGUUGGGAACCCCGCUGACGUGGCUAUGGUCCGAAUGCAGGCUGAUGGACGUCUCCCAAUUGACCAACGUCGCAACUACAAGAGUGUGUUUGAUGCUCUGACUCAAAUGUCAAAGCAAGAAGGAAUUGCUAGCCUCUGGCGUGGCUCAAGUCUAACAGUGAACCGUGCGAUGAUCGUCACUGCAUCACAGCUCGCAUCCUAUGAUCAGAUCAAGGAGAUGAUAUUGGAGAAGGGUGUGAUGAGUGAUGGAAUAGGGACCCAUGUGACGGCGAGCUUCGCAGCUGGGUUUGUGGCAUCGGUGGCUUCAAACCCUAUAGAUGUGAUAAAGACUAGGGUUAUGAACAUGAAGGUGGAGACAGGGGCGGAGCCGCCAUACAAGGGUGCAUUAGACUGUGCAAUGAAGACAGUGAGGGCGGAGGGUCCAAUGGCUUUGUAUAAGGGAUUUAUCCCUACAAUCUCAAGGCAAGGACCUUUCACUGUGGUGCUGUUUGUCACGCUAGAGCAGGUCAGGAAACUGCUCAAAGAUUUCUAACUCAUGUGAUGAUGAUCGAUGAGGAAAAUCAAACGCCAUUACAUAUAGCUAGAAAGCUGUGAAUUUUUCAGCUUCAUUGCUGAGAAUUAUUCUUUAAUUUUUUUAAUGGGACUCUUUGUAUCUGUCAAAUUGCAGUUAAAUUGGCAAUUCCACAGUUUUAGGAAGAUAGAUUCCUGCAUUUAACAUUUUAUUUAUAAAAAAAAAAUUAAAAAUAAUUUUUUUAAAGUAUAUAAAAAAUAAUUAAUAAUUAUAAAAAAAUUAUAUAAAAUGACAGCUAGACAUUUUUUAAAAUAAUUAAUAAUUAAAAUUAUUUUAUUUUUUUAAAAUUAAAUGUAUAUAAAAACAAAAAAUAUAUAUAUUUUAAAGAAAAAUUUUUUAAUAUUUAAAAUAUUCAUUGACUAAUUUUCUAAAUGCCUCAAAUAUUAAAAAAAUAUGAAAAAUAUUUUUAGUUAAAAUAUAAAAAAUAUUUAACUAAAAAUAUUUUGUAUAAAAAAGUAGAGUCUAAAAUAUAUAAUUUUUUUAUAUUUUUUAACAUAUCUACCUUUUAAAAUUUUCAUAAAUAUGAUAUUUUAAAAUCUCAACGUGGUUUUACUAUCAUUAAAAUUUUAAAUUUUUUUAACUCACAAUUUAAUAAAAUAAUUAAUAAAAAUUUCAAAAAUAUAUAAUUUCAUUAAAAUAAUUUUAUGUAAUUUUUUUAAAUAAUUAUUUGUUUAAACAUUUUUUAUUUAAAAAUAAAAAAAAUUUUAAAAUAAUAAAUUAUUAUUUUUAACAAUAAUUUUAAUUAGUAAUUAUUUUUUUUAUAUACUUUAAAAAAAUUAUUUUUAAUUUUUUUUUAAAAAUAUUUUUUUAUAAAAUUGACAUAUUCAAUAAUUAAAGCGUUAAACAUACCGAUUUCCACCGCUAGAUUAUCAAACUGUGCAGUUCCACAGCAUGAGUGAUGAAUAAAAAUUCAAAAUGCCUUGGAAGAUCAAACGUGAAUUUCAAUUUCUUUUUUUUUUCUUGUGCGUGUUUUGAAAAAAAAAUAGCUCUACCAAAGCAGUAAACUCAGCAAGCACAAAGGUACACAGGCCAAGUCGAAUCAUGAAUCCAGCUGCCCAACGACCGCGGCUAUUCCGGAGUAGCCCACCUCCUCCUCCACGACCUGGAUUCCCCUGCAAGCUGCGACGCUCCAUCUGUGUUGAGUUUUAACCACCUAUCUCGCGGUGGAACCCAUGAAACAGCCACCAAAGUUCGUUGUUUUUGCACCUUAUUCAUUCCUUUCCAGACCUUAUAAUUCAUGCAGUAUUCCCUACGUAAAAUGGCUAUCUUUGAAGUUAACGUUAAUAUUUCUCCCUCAAACACAUAAUUAUUUCUCCACUGCCACAAAAACCAUAACGUAAUACAAAGACACUGUACAGCCUGAUACUCACUCCUUUCUCUACAUAUCAGUUCUUCACAAUGUAACCAGUCCUGAAUUCCCAUGUUAUAAAAUUUGGUUAAAGAGUUGGCCUCCCAUACAUUUCCUAGACUUGUCGAGCAGCCCAACAAUAAAGAUAUGUAGGUAACUUUCAUAUAUUUUUUACUUAUAAUUUAAAUUAAUUUUAUAUUUUUAGUAAAUUUAGUAAAUAAAAAUAAAUAUUUAAUAUUUAAUUAUUUUAUUCAUAAAAAUUAAAAAAUUUAAUUUCAUUGACUCAUUGAAGAUGUGAUAUAGUGAUUCUAUCAUAUGAAAGGUAAAUACGUAGAAAAAUUAUAAAUUUUUGUUUAUAAAUAUAUCAUAUUUUUUGUGCUUAAUUUUAAUUUAUUAUAAUUUUAAAAAGUAAAAAGAUAAAUAUUGAAUUUAAAUGUUUAUUUUAUUUAUUAUCAGCAAAUGAGACUUUCUGUAUAUAUUAAUAUUUACUGGGACGGAAAUAUUAUAAGUACGUUUUCAUGGAUAUGAUUAUGGUGGAAGUUUUUCAAAUGUUGUUCUAAUAAGUAAAAGGAUAAGUUUUAAUCAAACAGUAAAAAAAAUUGCAUAUACUAAUAUUUACUGGAACGAAAAUAUUAUAAGUAAUUCUGAUGGAUAUGAUUAUGAUGGAGGUUUUUCAAAGGUUGUUCCAAUAAGUAAAAGGAUAAAUUUUAAUUAAGCAAUCGAAAAAAUUGCAUAUACUAAUAUUUAUUGGGACGAAAAUAUUAUAAGUAGUUUUCAUGGAUAUGAUUAUGAUGGAGGGUUUUCAAAGGUUUUCCAAUAAGUGAAAGGAUAAGUUUUAAUCAAGCAGUCGAAAAAAUUGCUUGUGCAGUUGAAUUAGUCGAGAAUAAUGAAUAUAUAGAGAUAAUUAAUUUUAAAAAACCUAUAAUUUUGGAUGGAUCAUUAAAAUUUAAGUAUAUGGACACUACAAGAAUUUUAAAAAUUACCAACAGAAAUUUCCAUUGGUAAACAUUGAUAUUCCGUUAGUGAAAAAUUUCACUAACGGAUCUGUGACGGAUUCAUUCCGUUGGGAAAAUUCUCGUUGGUAAAUUAUUCACUAACGGAAUUUGUAUCCGUUAGUGACACUAACGAAUCACCAACGGAAAUGUCCGUUGGUGACACUAACGGAAUGCAAUUCCGUUGGUAAUACUAACGGAUUUUGCAUUAGUAAUCCGUUAGUGAAUAAAAAAUGGCGUUGUUUUCCUUUGCAAUGGACAUGGAUCUGUUAGUGACACCAACGGAAAUUCUAUUGGUAAUCCGUUGGUAAAUCAUAAAAUUGCAAAAUCAUCCAUAUAUUUUCAUACAUUAUGUACUUGUACCCUGUACAUUCAUAUACAUCCAUCAUCAUCCAUCAUCAUCCUGGACAUUAAUAAUACUAUAAACGUAAAAAAUCAAAUUACUCAUUAAAAUAUAUUUAAAACUUAAAAAAUUUGUACUACAAUUAUAAUUUGAAAUAAAAAUUAUCAACUGGUCAUAACAAAAGAUACAUACUAAACUAAACUAGCAAACUCAUCAUCUGUAUCAUCAUCAUCACUAUCUGUAUGAUGAUCACCAAUGACAGGGGCAUCAUCAUGCCGCUGCUGUGGAGACGGAGCUGGAGGUGCCCUAGGAGCAGAUGUCUGAGUGGAUGUCCCAAUACUCUGUUGUGCCAUCAUCCUAUGCAUAAACGUCUGCAACUCGUCCAACACUGUGCUAAUUCAACCAUUCUCUGUCUCUAGCCGAUCAAUUUUAUUCUGCAUCUUGUUCAUUGCUUCAAUUGUAGGAGGAUCCACUGGGGGUGCAGACGUGUAUGAAGCGGAACAAUGAGAUGGCUCAUGAAAAUAUGCUAAAGCCUAGGACCCUAAUCUAUAAACUCGACUCUUUUUCUGCCCGCCAACCGCUUCGUAGUACAGUUGGACCUCAUUUAUGGUCGUCGGCUCAUUGCUUCUCUCCUGUUGCUGUGUUGCUACCUCUUUCAGUUGUACGUAUUUAUCCUGCAUUAUAAAUUUCAAGUAACGUAUUAGUAAAACGAUUUAAGUACAUCAAAAUUGUUAAUAACUACAUUUAAUAUUAACUUACAUAAAUAGCUUUUGACCUAGCAUCAACAAACUCUUCUGUCCCUUUUCUCUUAUGUGUGACCUCGAAAACCUCAUGAGGAUGUGGUUCUCUGCCUAGUCUUUCUCUCUGUUACCAAUUAUAAGAAGUAUAGCAAUUAUCAUCGAAAAAAAAUAUUUAUAAGAAGAUAAAUAUAAAAUAAAAAUAUUUACUAAUACCAUCCUCUGCUAAUGGGUAUACUGUGAAACUGAUCCGCAUGCAUGCCUGGAAAUGCCAGAUCCUGACCCUCCAGCCUCAAUGCGCCUAUUGGUAGAAAACUUGUCACACUUCUCUUUGUAUUCAGAAGUGUUCCAAGUUUUCUGCCACUUCCUCAAAAUAGAAUCUGGUGUAGCCAGAUUCUUCGCCUUCCCUUUCCUGAUUUCCCACAUUAAGCCCCUAUAUCUCUCAGCUGCCUUUUUCUGCCAUGCAAUUUUGACCAAGCUUUCAAUUGCUUGGUCCCAUAUGAAGCAUUUCUGCAAAAAGAUUAAAGUAUAUGAUUAGUUAGUAAUUACACAUUUCAUAUUAUAAAUCAAAAUGCUAAAAGAAUUACGCUUCACCUUGAAUUCCUGCCAAUAAAACUCCUUAGUGUCAUUUGGCACUGUCUUCCAACAGUGUCCUUCCGCGAUCAAUCUUUAUUUUAUUAUCAGAGUAAUCCUGCGACUGCACAUCUCCGACGGAUGUAAACUACAUGAACAACGGUGAGUUAGUAUAGGGUAACAUUGAAAUUAAUCAUAAUUAAAAAAUAAUUAACUAUUACUUGUUAUUAAUGAGUGAAAUGGUCUGUCGGAAUGAAUGUGUGCCGCCUACAGCAGUGGUCGAUCCUGCAGAUGCUGGAGCAGAUGAUAGAGUAGAUGCUGAUGCAGAUCCUGACCAUCUAGCUGAUGCAGUAGCAGAAGGAGAUGCAGGUUGAGGUGAAUGUGAAUGUGAUAUCGCAGGUCGUGGAGCUGGAGUGGGAUGGUGAGGAGCUAGAGUGUGACGGUGAGGAGGUGGAAGGGGACGGGGAGGCAAUGCAUCGGUACAUGGUGGAACUGGUGGACCUAAUAGAUCCCUAUGACAUGGUUGUACACUGGAUGCAAGUGGUACCCAUAUUUGAAGCUCCGUAUCCCCAAGUCCCGUUGAUGCCGUGGUAACUACGGCUAAUGCUCUUGUCCGCCAUCUGCAGUCGCCUCCUCUUGACUUGUACUAGCAGGAAGUCGAACCGGUCCUCUGGGCUUCUUAACCCUUCCACAUCCCCUCAUCUGUGAACAAAUAAAAAAUAGUCAAUGCAAAAAAUAAUAUAAAGUUCAUAAACAUUAAAUUAAAAACGUACAAACAUAGUAAGUUACUCACUGAGAAAUAAUGAAAAUAUACAACUCCAAACUGAUUUAUAAUAUAAAUUAAUUUAGUCCGAUUCAUACGAAUCGAACUCAUUAUCACCAUCUGCAUCUACAUCAGAAUUAGGGUCACUAAGAAACUCAUCUUCAUCUGUCGAAACAUCAUCAUGAAUCUCAGUCAUUCCUCCACUAGGAUCAUUCAGGUAGUGUUGUUGAGUAAUAUCAUCCAGAUUUACUUCAGCGUAAUCAAUCUCAUCUUCUUGAAAAGGUUUAUAUGUCUUUGAAGACGUUUCAGAUACUUCAACAACGGGUCUACCUUUAACUUUCAUCACAGCCCACCAAUCAUUUUUGUCACGACGCUUGCUCGGGUAUGAAGCAUAAACGACCUGUGUUGCCUGAGAGGCUAAUACAAAUGGCUCGUACUUACUGUAUCUACGCUUAUUGUUAACAUCGACUAUUCUAUAAUGUCUAUGCACCUUGGUGCCCGUAUUUAGUAUUGGAUCAAACCAAUCAUAUUUGAAAAGUACAGUCCGCUUAAUUGAUAACACUGGAUACUCCAACCGUAACACCUCAACCAACUGUCCAUAGUAGUCACUUUCUUUAAAACUGUAAUUACUCCCUUUUAUACAUACACCAAAAUUCAUUGACUUACUACUUAAAUUUCCAUUGAUUGUGUUGAAUUUAUAUCCAUUAACACAAUACCCAUCAAAAGUUGUGACACUUCUGAGUGGUCCCUUUGAAAGAUCUUGUAUAAGCUGAUUUUUUACAUUGUUCUGCAAUUCAUGGGCAUACUUGUAAAACCAUUGGCCAAACUCUCUCUCCAGUUUUUCAUCAACAGUUGCAUCUGUGAUAUUUGGUUGUGCCGAUUUUACUUGCUCUACAUAAAUGCUAUACAUACAAAUUAACAAGUAAUGUUUAACAAUAAUGUACAAUAUAAGAGAUAUUACACUAUUAAUAUAACUAACAAUACUUACUCAAUAUAUGUUUUCACCUCUGGACAAUUUAAAAGAAUAUAUGUUUGAGCAGAUUGGCUUUCAUUUUCAGUCAUAUAUCUCGAUUUUCCCUUUCAGAUUGUGCUACCUGUGCAUUUGAAUAUGCUUAAUUUGCUCGGUACAUCAUCAUCGGAAACAAAUUCAUGCAAGUUGCGUGGAACCUUCGAUGUCUGGUCAUUACAUGUGCUUCAAAAUAAUGAGCAGAAAAUGCACCUGCUUCUUCUACCAAGUAAGCAUUGCAUAUUGAACCUUCGACCCUUGCUUUAUUUUUGACAUUGUUCUUUAACUUUCUCAUGUAUCUAGUGUGUGAAAACAGAAAUUAGAAAUGUAUACUAAGUAAAUCAUAAUGCUGAGCAAUAUACGUAAAGAAUUAGUAAGUAUACCUCUCAAAUGGUAUAUCCACUGAUAUUGUACUGGUCCUGCAAUUAAUGCUUCAUAUGCAAGGUGUACUGGUAAAUGUUCCAUUGAAUCAAACAGACUUGGAGGAAAUACUCGUUCAAGCUUACAAAGGAUCACAGGAAUUUGUUCAUUUAACCGUUGCAUGUCCCAAUUAAUAAGUGUAGUUUAAGUAAGUUCUCUGAAGAAAUUGCUAAGCUCUGUUAUUGGUUGCCAAACAUUAUUCGAUAACAAUUCUCUGAAAGCUAUAGGAAGAAUUCGUUGUAUGAAAACAUGACAGUCGUGGCUUUUCAUACUAAAAAGUCUAAGCUUCCGACUAUCAACACACCUCCCUAGAUUGAAAACAUAUCCAUUAGGGAAUUUCAGUGUUUUAAGCCAAUCACACAGUAUCAUCUUUGAUUGCUUGUCCAAACAAUAACUUGCUUUUGGAUAUUUUCCGCUAAUUGGAUCUUUCUUCAAUUCUGGUCUCCUGCAUAUUUCAUUUAAAUCUUCCCUUGAUUUUAUAUUGUCUUUCGUCUUCCUCUCCACAUUCAUCACUGUAUUAAAAAUAUUUUCAAAUACAUUCUUUUCAAUAUGCAUUACAUCAAGAUUGUGGCGAAUCAUAUUUGAUUACCAAUAUGGCAAAUCCCAUAAUAUGCUCCGCUUACGCCAACCAGUUGUCUUUGAAAGCCGACCAUUUAUUUCAUGACUGUCAAUGUCUAUUAUCCGCAUCAACCCAAUUUGCUCAAUUUCUUUUAGCAAGUAUUCCCCAGUUCUAAUUGGCGGCGAUGACUUGGAGACUGUUUGGUUUUUAAUAAAAGAUAUCUUGUUUCGACGGAAAGCAUGGUCGUCAGGCAAAAACUUUCGAUGACUGUCAAACCAUGUUUGUUUACCCCCCCUUUUUAAUGUAAAUGCAUCUGUGUUUUCCAUACAGUAGGGACAUGCAGUGCGUCCUGCUGUGCUCCACCCUGAGAGCAUUGAAUAAGCAGGGAAGUCACUAAUAGUCCAAAGUAAAGCAACAUGCAUAGUAAAAUUGUUCUGCUGGAAAGCAUCAUAAGUAUUCACACUAAUUUUUCAAAGUUCUUUCAAUUCCUUCACUAAUGGUUGCAUGUACACAUCAAGCUUCUCUUUUGGAUUCUUGGGACCAGGUAUGAUAAUUGUCAGGAAUAUGUACUCAUCUUUCAUACACAUACCUGGUGGCAAAUUGUAUGGAGUUAAUAUUACUGGCCAUGAAGAAUACUGUUGCCCAAAUUGACCGAAUGGUUGAAAUCUAUCAGUGCAAAGGCCGAGUCUGACAUUUCGGGCCUCCAUUGCAAAGGUUGGAUGAGUUUGAUUGAAAUGCUUCCAAGCAAGAGCAUUUGAACAAUGAUGCAUCACCCCAUCAUCAUUUGCAUGGUCAUUGUGCCAAGUCAUAUACUUAGCUGUAACACACGAUGUAUAAAGUCUUUGCAAACGUGGUGUAAUGGGAAAGUAAUACAUUUUUUUGUAUGGUAUUAGACUCUUCCCUUUCCCCUUGGUGUGCUUGAGGUGUUUGAACCUUUCAUGGUCACAAAAUUUGCAUCUAGUAAGUUCUUUAUUAUUUUCCUAAUAAAUCAUACAAUCAUUAAAACAACAGUGUAUCUUUUGUACAGGAAGCCCCAAUCCUUGGACUAGUCUCUUUGUUGAGUAAAAGCUGCCCGUCAUGACAUUGUCACUCGGUAACAUCUCCUUCAUAAGUUCACAAAUCUGAUCAAAACACCAUUCUGAGAAAUGAUGUUCUGCCUUCAGAUUUAGUAAACGUGAAACGGCCGAUAACUGAGAGUGAGUUUCACAUUCAGGCCAUAGUUCUUACUUAGAUGCAUUUAACAUUUCAUACAGUUUCUGUGCAGCGGAGUUUGGCAUCUCAUAUGUAUCAUUAUGUAUUAUAUGACAACUUAUUGCAUCCAUGACCAUGUCCUCAAACCGAUUGAAAUUUAGGUGAUUAACACUAUCAGAACCAUAAGACAUGUCUAAUAGUGCAUCACCAGAUCCGUCAUGCACUUCAGUUUCACCGUGCAAAUACCAAGCAAGGUAAUUUUGCACAAAACCAUGCUUCAUUAAAUGAUAUUUAACUGUAUUUUCAUCUUGAAAGCUACAGUUCUGACACUUAAAUCGAUUGCAAGGACAGCGAAUCUGAUCGUCAUUUAAAUAAUAUGGGCAGUUCUUAGCCUUCUCUAUAAAUUCAUUGAUCCCCUCUAAAUAUCUGGGAUUAAGUAAACCAUCUCUGAGACGAGCAUACAUCCAACUUCUUUCAGCAGUCAUAUUAACUACAAUAACGAUGCUGAUAUGAAAACAUAAAACUUAUAAAUCCUAUCUUCGAACAGAGCCUGAAAACCAAUAAUUAAAUUAUGCAUUAUAUCUAAAAUAUGCAGUAAUUAUAUCAAUUUUACUUAAGAGAAUAAUUUAUGCAAAAAAAUAGAAUAAUAAUACAAAAACCUGAAAUACAUGAUAAUUUAAUUACUAAUAUCUUCAUAAUCACGUGUUUAAUUAAUUAUUAGGUCCGCCAAUUUAUUAGAUGCGCCAAAUUAUUUUUGAGAAGUGCACCAAAAUGCACCAGCAGGUGCACUGCAAAAUGCACAUGCUGGUGCACUUGGCGAGUGCAACAGCAGGUGCAAAGGAUAAAUUCAAAAAAAUAUAAAACCUGAAUCAGGUAAAAAAUUUCACAAAAAUCAAGCGGGUGCAGAGGAUAAUUUCACAAAAAAUCAAAAAUUUCAAAAAUAUAAAACAUUUCACAACAAUUUCACAAGAAUGGAGUACAUGCAAGAAAAUAGGGUACCUGUGGACAGUGUCCGUCGAUAAUGGCAAGACCGGAGAGAGAGAGGGCCUCACUCGUGGACCGUGAUGCCGAGAAAGGGCGCACCUGUCGACGGUGGAUGGCGGCAGACCGUGGUUAGCGGCAGCGGUGAAAGACCCAGAGGUUGGACGCAAAUUCGGAUUUCAGAGAUAUUUUGAUUUCCUAAUCACACGAUUUAGGGAUCUCAUUUAGUAUACUGUGUAUUUUGGGUUAAAAUUCACUAACGGAUGAUUAGUCCGUUAGUGAAAAAAACAUUAGAUUAAAAAAUAAUAAAAUCACUUACAGAUUACUAACAGAAAUAAUGUCCGUUAGUAUUUCACUAACGGACUUAUGAUGGAUGGGUACGAGCGUAUUCUUCAAUCCGUUAGUGAAGUCCGUUAGUGAUCAAUUGAAAUCUUGUAGUGGGAGAUAUGGGGUGAAGAUGACGUAUCUCAUAUGUUUAAUUACACAUGUCAAGUUAGUGAUAUGACUGAUAUAAAAAAAUAUGUUAAGAUACUUCGUCGUGUUAAUACGAUAAAUGAGGAUGUUGAUAUUGAUCUCUCUGGAACUGCUCUUGAAUCAAAUAUUGAAUAAUGUGAAGAGCAGAAUUCACUGAAUGAUUAUAAUUUAUCUGAUACUCUUGAAGGGCGAUCGAAUAAUUUAUCUGAUAGAGCAGAGGAUGAUGAUUCAUAGAUAUCUACUGAGGAUGAUGAUGAUGAUGGCGAGGAUAAUGAUUCAUAGAUGUCUACUGAGGAUGAUGAUGAUGGCAAGGAGGAUAGUUUGAGUAGAUAUCAAUACUACAAUACUCAAUUUCUAAUCCUAUUGUGCCUAUUGUUCAUCCUCCCCAUACUCAGAAAUAUAUUUCGAUUUACUACAGUGGAUUCCUAUGAUAAACUAGAAUGUUGUUUCUUUUGGGAUCCAUUUAAAGAGUUUUCAAUUGGGAUGCUAUUUUCUUCAAGAUAUGCAAUGGCUCCGGCUGCAAAAAAAUAUCACCUUAGACGUCAUCAUCAAUUUUGCUACCAUGAAACAAGAGAGAGUACAUAUUCUAUAAAGUAUAAAGACAAAUACAAUGGUUGUGCAUUGAGGCUUCGAGCAUCCAAAAAACAAGAAGAGGAUAUAUAAAAAAUUAUGAGAUAUAAUGGACCACACACAUAUACAAAUCCUCAAUUAUUGAAAAACAAUAGCUAAUUGGAUGAAAAUUUCAUCUAUUCAUUCAUCUUUGCAUUGAUUGAAUAACAGCCUAAUAUAAAAAUUGCAGCCCUACAAGCAGAAGUGUGAGAUAAAUUUGGGUACGAGUUGUCUCAUAAAAAAACAUGGAAAGCAAAGUAUAAGGCAAUUGCAAAGCUUUAUGGGAGUUGAGAUGAAUCACAUAGUUAGUUGCGUAAAUUCAUAACAGCUGUUCAUUAUUUCAAUUGUGAAACAAUAUACAUUAUUAGGAACAACCCACAUUGGAUAGAUGAACAAUUAAAUUUGAUGUGUUGUAUAUUUGACCAAAUGUUUUGGACUUUUAAGCAAUCGAUUAAGGGAUUUAAAUAUUGUCAACCUGCAAUUUCAAUCGAUGAGACAUUACUUUAUGGAAAAUACACCUGGCGUAUAUUGUGUGUAACUGCACUCGAUGGAAAUAAUCAACUUUUUUUUAAAACUUUUGUCAUUGUUAAUAAGAAAGAUGAUGACAAUUAGUCAUGGGUUAUGGACUGCAUAAGGUAUUUGUGACCAAUAGAGAAGACUUAUGUGUAAUUUCAGACCAUCAUGCUGGAAUUAUUAAGACGAUACAGAAAGAUUGGUGGCAACCUCCAGCCGGUCAUCAUCCUUACCAUAUAAGACAUGUAUUGAGCAAUUACAAUAAAACAUUCAAAAAUGCUGCAAUAAAGAAAUCAUUGUGUAGGGCAGAUAGAUGUCAUGUCUUUAAAUACAAUUUUUUUUAUCUAUUUAAUGUCACAUUUUGCUGAUAAUAAUUUUACUUUAAUGAACUUAUAAUUUAUAUCAGCAAAUCAAAAUCAGAAGAGAAAGUUUUAUGAAGCCAUGAACAAUAUUCAGGAGGUGCACCCUGAAUCAUAUGAUUGGACAGUUAAAAUAAAUUUAGCGAAAUGGACGAGAUCACACGAUGGUGGACAAAAAUAUAACAUGAUGACAAUAAACAUUUCUAAAUCCCUAAAUGGCAUGAUGAAAGGAUUUUGAGUGUUGUCUAUAACGACAAUAGUUGAAAAAAUAUUCUUUCAAUAUGUCCAUUAUUUUGAUACAUGACGAACAAUAUUUUUUGAUCAGCAAAGCAAGGAUUUAUUUUCACUCAGACUUGCAGUGAAACUCUUCGUGUUAAUGCAAUUAAAACGAAUGGACAUAGAGUGAGAAGGUUUAAAAGUCAAACAAUGGUUUGUAAAAUAAUUAUUAUUCGGGGUAGGCAAAAACAAGUGGUUAAACUUAUGGAUUAAAUAUGCACAUGUGACAAAUUUCAAGAGACGAGAUACCAUGUUCACAUGCUAUUGCUGCAUGUAUGUCCCAUUCAAUUGACUACAAGCAGUUUGUCUCUGAUUAUUAUAAAUUGGAGUAUAUCAUCCAAUGUUAUGCAUACACAUUCUAUCUUUUUAGACAUCCUAACUAUUGGCCUGCAACAUAUGAACUUCUUCUUGUGCCUGACAUUUCUAGAACAAGGAAGAAGAAACGACCAAAAUCUUCUAGGAUUCAUAAUGAGAUGGAUUGAAAGUCGAGCAAAAUAAAAGAAACGUCUAGAGUCCAUUGUUUAAUAUGUGACAGGGUGGGACAUAAUAAAAAAAUCUGUGUAGGUUGAAAAAUAAAUAGAUAAAUGUUAAUAUUUAUACUUACAGUCACUUAUAUUUUUUAUAAUUAUUAUAAACGUAAUGUAUUUUUUAGUGUUCAUUUAUUUUUAUUGGUAUCUUAUAUUUAUGUUUAAUGGUCGAUCGCUCAUGAUUACAUUUACAGAUUAAUAUGGUCGAUCGCGUUGUUAAAAAGAACAAAUCACACAAGUCAUCCAUAUCAAGAAUAUUUAAGAAUAAUUCAAUUAUAAUAGUCAAAAAGUAUAUAGAUCCUAAUGGCAUAACAUGGUAUGAAAAAAAUAAAUACGUCAGAUUACUCAUGUCUUAAUCGUAGUAAUGCACCACAUAUUUUCAUUGGUUUUCCUUUAAAUUCGUUACAAGAUUUUGGAUAAGUAAUUAUAUCGAGCGUUGAACCUCCAUGGGGAGACUAUGGAAAAUACGUUGUGAGUUAGAAGUAUAUUUUAAUAAAUAUAUUAAAAUAUCUCUAAUGGUUUAAAAAAUUUACUAAUUAAUUUUUUAUUAAUUUUAACAAUUAAAUAUUAUAAAAAGUUUAAAACACUCUCGAUACGGAAAGACUAAUUAUUAACUUUUUUAUAAAAUUAAGAAAUUAAUUAAUAUUUUUUUUUUCAAAUUACAGAAAUUAGAUGAUAAAAUAUUUAAAAAUAAUUAAUUAGUAGAUUUUUUAAAAUGCUAUGAUGGUUUAAUGGAUUUUUUAAAAUUGAGAAGUAAUAGAAUUAAAUAAUAAAUUUUUAUGUAUUUUGCUAUUAUUAAGUAUACAUUUGAUAUGAUAACAAAAAUUAGAGUAGUUGUUAAUGGUAUAUAUUUUUAUGGAGUAAUAAUUAAAUUUAAAAAAAAAAGGUUUAAUAUUAAAAAUGAAUAUAACUGUUAAUCUAUUAAUUUUUUAUGUUUUAUAUAAAAAAAUUAAAAAUAAUUAAAAAUAAUUCAUUUAACUUAAUAAAAUAUCAUUUAGAUGUUAUAUUAUAGAUAAGUAAUGCAAUGAAUAUAUAUUUAUUAUGAAUCAUAUAUUAAUUUAGAGAAAAUUUUAAUAUAAAAUCAAUCAUAAAUAGAUAAAUCCGUAACAAACCGUAUUCUAAGUAGACACCUAUCAUGAUGUUCUUACAAGUGGACAAAUGGUGCGAGAGUAGAGUGCAUGUUAACGGGAAAGUAGCAAUCAAAAGAAAGCACUAGAAUUUAAGUUAUGGAACCCACAAUACGCGUCGUUUUAAAUACAAAUUUUGAAUUUUACAAAAUGGCAAAUAAUGAAAAUGUUGAAUUAAGCGUCAAAGGCCAAACCGAGACUACGUAUUAGAUAAAGUCAAACAAAGUGUGGCGACUGUUGGACAAUUCAACAUUCCUCGCUAUAUAAACGCCUAAUUCUCUACUCAUUCUUCAUCUUCAUCACCAUUUCUAUUCUCUGCCUCUUCACUUCACUCAGCUUCUCUCUCGCUGAUCAGUUUUGUUUUCUCCAGUUUUCCAUCCAUAAUUAAUAAUGGGUUUGAAGGGUUUUGUUGAAGGUGGUAUUGCCUCCAUUGUCGCCGGUGCCUCCACCCACCCUCUUGACCUCAUCAAGGUUCGCAUGCAACUUCAAGGUGAAUCCCACCUCCCCAAUCCAGCUUCCCUUCAAGCCCUCCGUCCUGCCAUCGCCUUCAACACGGUUGCUGCUGGUGCCGGUAAUAUUUCACUACCUGUAGAAAUUGCUCCUCCGCCAGCUCGCGUUGGACCCAUUUCUAUCGGUGUUCGUAUCAUUCAAUCUGAAGGUGCUGCAGCCCUUUUCUCUGGUGUAUCUGCCACUAUACUUCGCCAGACCUUGUACUCAACCACCCGUAUGGGUCUUUACGAUGUUCUCAAACACAAGUGGACAGAUCAAGACACCGGAAGCAUGCCUCUUCCACGCAAGAUUCUUGCCGGCCUUAUCUCCGGCGGUAUCGGAGCCUCCGUUGGGAACCCCGCUGACGUGGCUAUGGUCCGAAUGCAGGCUGAUGGACGUCUCCCAAUUGACCAACGUCGCAACUACAAGAGUGUGUUUGAUGCUCUGACUCAAAUGUCAAAGCAAGAAGGAAUUGCUAGCCUCUGGCGUGGCUCAAGUCUAACAGUGAACCGUGCAAUGAUCGUCACUGCAUCACAGCUCGCAUCCUAUGAUCAGAUCAAGGAGAUGAUAUUGGAGAAGGGAGUGAUGAGCGAUGGAAUUGGGACCCAUGUGACGGCGAGCUUCGCAGCUGGGUUUGUGGCAUCGGUGGCUUCAAACCCUAUAGAUGUGAUAAAGACUAGGGUUAUGAACAUGAAGGUGGAGACAGGGGCGGAGCCGCCAUACAAGGGUGCAUUAGACUGUGCAAUGAAGACAGUGAAGGCGGAGGGUCCAAUGGCUUUGUAUAAGGGAUUUAUCCCUACAAUCUCAAGGCAAGGACCUUUCACUGUGGUGCUGUUUGUCACGCUAGAGCAGGUCAGGAAGCUGCUCAAAGAUUUCUAAUUCAUGUGAUGAUGAUCGAUGAGGAAAAUCAAAUGCCAUUACAUAUAGCUAGAAAGCUGUGAAUUUUUCAGCUUCAUUACUGAGAGAAUUAUAAAUAAUUUAAUUCUUUGGUUAGGAAAGGCCGCUACUAUUCCAUUACUGUAAAGAAGAAUUGAUUUUUUGAUAUAUAAAUUCGUAUUGAUCACAUUUCCAUUUAUCCAUAUUGCUGCAAGUGAAUCAUUUACCUAACGAAUUUAACCAGCUUCGUGACUUCCCAUCCCCCUCUACUAGACCUUUAAAUCACUCAGUUCCUGUGAGAUGGUCUCCUCAUAUUGAUUGGGUUAAGAUGAAUAUUGAUGCGGGGAGGACUGCUACGGGUGGUAUUGAUUUAGGAGUUCUUUGUCGCGAUCAUGCAGGCCAUGCUUUAGCUGCAGCAGGUGAUUUCAGAAGCUCUAGCUAUCUCUUUUGGCCUCCAGCUUGCUGUUGAUAUGCUCUUCAUGCAUCACAGUCAUCAACUAAAAUUAAAUCUUAUUCUCGUUAGAGAUCCAUUAAAGAUAACCAACUUAGUACUACCAACCAAUGAAAAUAAAUUUUUAUACUUUACAUGAGACAAUUAAAAAAAAUAACGGUCAAAUCACUAAAUUAUUUUUAUUCAUGUGUCAUAAUAUAAAUAGUCAGAAGUACUAUCUCAUCGUGAGACGUAGUACUCCUGGUGUAUUGAAGCUUUUAUUCAUAAUUUAAAAAAAAAAAAAAAAAUUGGUGCCAAUGCCCCUCCAGCCCUCUAGCCUUCACCCUAAACUCUUUCUAAAGGUUAUAUAUAUAUAUUUUUUGAUGGAAAAUAUUAGUGGCGUUGUGAUCGAUAUUUAUGAAGUUUUGAUUUCAAAUUCUGUUACACUAAGUCAAUGGUUUAAUUACUAAUAAAAUUUUAUUUUUUUGAGAAAUUAUUAAUAACUUAAAUAGUUAAAUUCAUAAUGUAACAUAAGAUUAAUAACUUAGUCCAUUUCAAAAAAAAUUCUGAUAGCAAAAACUUGCAUGUGAGGGUUACACAUCGUUAUUUUCCAAGUGAAAUAAACCUUCCAACAUAAUAAAUCCGUCCUUUUAUAAAAUUUAAUUUUACUUAUUUACUUCUUUAAAUUCAGUAAACUGGUUCUAAAUAAAAAUUAUCCACCGAAUCAUCGAAGCAAUGGAAUUAAGUGAAAGAAAGAAAAAAAAUUAAGAAUGGGUCAACAGUGUCUUGUCAGUGGAACACAUGAACAUGCGACUGAGUCAUACAAUUGUUACACAGUUGGCCAGUUCUACAGUUCAUUACAGAAACCCAACUAAAUCAUUCAUUGCUCCAACACUACACAGUCAAACUAGGAAGGCCAAGAAUGGUCACAGAAAACAGCACCCUGCAACCUAGCCCAGACAUAAAGAGUCAAAUCUAAUACCGUGUAUAAUUGAUCAGUUCAAAAAAGAAGAUUUUUCUUCAAAUUUUCUCUAUAUAAAUAUAUGCAACUCUUCUCUUCUUUCAAACAUCUUCAAUCCAUUUCCAUUUUUAACUACCUUUCGAGAAAUCGGCCUGCCAAAGUUUUUCUUGCCUUCCUGAACUUCUCUAGAUCGAUCUCACAAUAAAAGAUGGGUUUCAAAGGCUUUUUUGAAGGUGGCAUUGCCUCCAUCGUCGCCGGUGCUUCCACCCACCCUCUCGAUCUAAUCAAGGUUCGCAUGCAACUCCACGGUGAAUCUCACCUUCCAAAUCCGUCCACGUUGCAUGCCUAUCGUCCUGCUUUUGCUGCUAACGUUUUACUACCAACAACCUUAGAAGUUCCCCCUCCACCUCGUGUAGGACCCAUUUCCCUUGGCGUCCGUAUCAUCCAAUCUGAAGGUGUCGCCGCACUUUUCUCUGGCGUUUCCGCCACUGUCCUACGUCAAACCCUAUACUCCACCACCCGUAUGGGACUUUAUGAAGUCCUUAAACAAAAGUGGGCUGAACCUGAAACUGGAAAUCUGCCUCUUUUACGUAAGAUAUUGGCUGGCCUCGUCGCUGGAGGAGUUGGAGCUGCCGUUGGGAACCCAGCUGAUGUAGCUAUGGUUCGAAUGCAAGCAGAUGGACGGCUCCCCGUUGACCUACGUCGGAACUACAAAAGUGUGGUGGAUGCUCUCACACAAAUGUCCAAGCAAGAAGGCAUAGCUAGCCUGUGGCGUGGCUCAAGUCUGACAGUGAACCGUGCAAUGAUUGUCACCGCAUCACAGCUCGCAUCCUAUGAUCAGAUAAAAGAGAUGAUCUUGGAAAAGGGUGUGAUGAGCAAUGGAAUAGGAACCCAUGUGACGGCGAGCUUCGCAGCUGGGUUUGUGGCUGCUGUGGCUUCAAAUCCUAUAGAUGUGAUAAAGACUAGGGUUAUGAACAUGAAGGUGGAGACAGGGGCGGAGCCGCCUUACAAGGGUGCAUUAGAUUGUGCAAUGAAGACUGUGAGGGCGGAAGGAGCUAUGGCAUUGUACAAAGGAUUUAUACCUACAAUCUCAAGGCAAGGACCUUUCACGGUGGUGCUGUUUGUCACUCUUGAGCAGGUCAGAAAGCUUCUUAAGGAUCUAUGAGUUUUUAGGACGAAGGGCAAGAAAUACAAGACUAUAGAACUAAUUGAAUUCACAGGACAAGAAAUGUUUGUCUUGAAUUCAUACCGCAUGAAUUUUCCUUUUUCGAUUAAUGAAUAUAUACAAGAAGUUUAAUCAUUUAUAGGGGUAGAAAUUUAUUUUUAUUUAUUAUUUUUAACAGUGACAUAUCGAAUUGAAUAAUGAAAAUUUUACAAUUUAAUUUUAAUGAUCUCAUCUCGAUUUUAAAAAAUAUAUUAAAACAUCAUUAAUAUUUUAAAAAAUUUAAUAAUUACUCUAUUUAUCUAUUUUAACUAUUAGUAUUAUAAAAAUAUCUAAAAUAUUUUUUAUAUGAAAAGAUUAAUUAAUAAAUAAAUUUUUUAUAAAAUUAAGAGAUUAAUUAAUGAUUUUUUUUAAAUAUAAAAUUAAAUAAUAAAAUAUUUAAUAAUUAAAAUUAAUAAAAAAUCUAAUUAAUAAAAUUUUUAAAAUAUUAAAAAUAUUUUAAUAUAAUUUUUUAAAAUCGAUAAAUUAAUUAAUUUAUUUUUUAAUAACAUAAAAACUAAAUAGUAUAUUUUUAUUUAUUCACUUUCCUUUUAAAUAUCUUUAUGUGUAAAUAUUUAUUUUUACAUAUUAAUAUUUUUAAAUUUAGGUAUUCAUCCAUAUUUCUUAGAGAAAAAAAUAUUAUACUUGUUAAUAAUGAGAAAUUGAUUUACCUAUGUAAUUUUCACGUUUAGGACAUUAAAAAAGAAAAAGUCAAUGAAACCAUUUUUCUAAUUAAAAUGAAAAAAUUUUAAAUUAGAGAAACUGAUUUUCUAAAUAAAUUACUAUUUAGUCUGUAAUAUUAAAAAACUUAUUAAUUAAUUUUUAAUUUUAAAAAAUAUUUUAAAAUAUUUUUAAAUUUUAAAAAGUCUAUUAAUCAAUCUCUCUAUUAAUUUUAGCCGUUAAAUAUUAUAAAAAAUUCUAAAUAUCUUAAAAAUUUGAGUGAUUUACUAAUAAAUUUUUUAAAAUUAAAAAAAUAAAUAAUAAAAUAUUUAAUUACAAAAUGAAUAGAAAAUUGAUUAGUAAAUUUUUUAAAAUAUUAAAAAUAUUUUAAUAUAUUUUUUUAAAAUGAAAGUACUUAUUUUUCAUAUAUCAUAAAAACUAAAUCGUUUUCUCUAAAGUUUUAAGUGAAUAAAAAUAAUCUCUGAGUUUCGUGUAUACUCUCAUUGCUAAUUUAAUUUUGUGACAGAAUUUCUGUUGGUGAAGGCAAUGUUUCGUCACUAAAUUUAGCAACCACCAAAAUCCUUGUACAUCAAUUAAAUUUAUGGUGCUAAACUAAUUCCAUAGCUAAAUAUUUUUUAAUAAGAAAAUUAGAAAAUAGGGAAUUAAAUCGGAGUCUUAAAUGAAUUAUAUGCAACUGCUAAAUUAAAUUAGACUAAAUCUAAAAAUUAAUUUUAUUUUUUUUAAUAAUCCACAGUAUAUCUAAUAUUAUCUAUAGUUAUUUUUUAAAAUUUCUUUAAUUUUUUGCUAUUAAUUUAUUAGAACUACUGCAAAAAAUACAAUAAAUCCAAUCACAAUAUUGGAUAGCCUUAUUAAAGAAUCGAAAUACAUCUUUUUAAAUUUUAAAAAUAUUCCAUAUUCAAAAUUUAAAUUUAAAAUCUUUAAUUAAUAUAUAUAAUUUCACUUACGUGUCAAAUUAUUUUAUACUGUUAAUAAAAUCUUUAAUUAAUAUAUAUAUAUAUAUAAUUUUACUUGCAUGUCAAAUUAUUUUAUACCGUUAAUAAAACAUAAAGAAAUUGGACUCGUAGAUUUAACCUGAUGAUAAGUGUAUCUGAAUAAAUAUGAGAAAUCUCACGUUCUACUUUCCAAUCUCAAUUCCUAUCUCAAAAUAAAUAAAUAAAAUAUAAAGAAAUUAUUGAAAUUAUUGUCCUUUAUUGACAUGAGAAUUCCAAUUGUGAGGCAAUUAGGUAUAGAAUGUGAAGGCAAGGUUGGUAAUUAAUCACUAUGAUUAAUUGCUAAUAUAAUACUAAUUGCUGUUCUUGAUUAGGUUUUUCACUUUUUUUUUUUAACUUUUCAAUUACUUUAUAGUAUAAGUGCUUUUCCACAAAUAUUGAAAUAUAAUUAAUCACUCCUUUGUCUCCUCCACUAACAUCAACAUCAACAUCAUCCCUUAAUUAAUCUCAUCUGCCCUAUUUUCUCCACUAAUAAUUAAUCCCUCCCCUAAUUACAUCACUAAUUAAACUUACAUUUCUUUAACUUUAAUUUUAGGUAUAUUGGAGCUUUCAACAUUUGAUUGAGUUGUACUCAUAAAUUUAGCCUGGUGGUAAGUGCAUUUUAAUAAAUUUGAGAGGUCUUAAGUUCUACUCUCUCAAUUCUCAAUCUCCAUUUAAAAAAAAAAACAUUUGAUUGACUCAUACAUAUUUAUAUCCGGAAAUAGAUUACCAAAUUUUGAAUCUUUAACUUUUUAUACUAAAAAAAGGAACGUUGCUAUCAAAUUAGGAGAUUUUUUUAAAAAAAAAUAUUAUCUUCUUGUCAUAAUUUUUAUUCAUUUUAUUUUUCAACACAUUAAAAAAUAUUUUUCUUAUUAACUUUUAAAUUGUAUUCAUUUUAAAAAUAUUAAAAUUUAUUAAAUAUUAAAAUAUAAAAUUUCUUUAAAAUAAAAUAAAAUUAAAUAGAAUUAUAAUAAUUAAUUUAUAUGUUAUUAUAGUGUAAAAAAAUCAUAAUAAUUUUAAAAUAAUUAAAAAAUAAAAAUUAUAAAACUAAAGAGUUUCAGAUAAAUUGAUUCAAAAAANNNNNNNNNNNNNNNNNNNNNNNNNNNNNNAGAGUUUCAGAUAAAGUUAAUUUUUUUGGGUAGCAAAAAUUUUUGCUCUUACCCUUGACAAAAAAUUUUGCUCUUACCCUUGGCAAAUUUUAAUCUUAGUCCUCCACUUUAAUAAAAAUUUCAUAAAAUAGAAACUUAAUUACUUUCGCAUAAGUUGCGGAGCAACCCUCGUUCAUAUUAAUUUUAAAACUAAAAAAUCUUACUUUUUUUAUUUAUAUUUAUUGAGGUAUAUUAAAAACUUAACCAAUAAAUGACUAUAUAAAAAAAUUAUUUAUAAUUUAAAAUGAAUUUAAAAAAAAAAAGUUUAUCUUUAUUAUACGGAAUACUAGCUUUCUAUUCAUUUAUUUCUUAAAAUGUUUAGUCUAAUGAUAAGUAUAUCUAAAUAAAUUUGAGAGAUCUCACAUUUUACUCUCCCAAUUCUCAAUUCUCAUUUAAAAAAAAAAAUUACUUCAAAAAAUUUAAUCAUACAAAUAUUUUUUAAUGAGAGAAAAAAUUAUGCAAUUCUUUUAAUAAUGAUGAUUUUUUUAAUUUUUAAAAGAUGAAGUUAGUUAUUUUAGAUUUUAAAAAUUUUAUAACAACACUGAAUUCUCUAUAUAUAUUUUAUUAACAAUCUUUGUUUUAAAAUAUUUUAACCAAAUAAUAAAUUUUAGUACUGAAUAAUCAUCGAUUUACGCUUUUUCGACAGUCAAGUAUUAUUAAUUAACUAUACAAAACCAAAUCAUAAAUUGUACAAACAAAUUUGAAAAUCAGUCGCCUACUCCAUUCUAAACGGCCAUUUAAUUUCCUCCCUAGCAUGCGUGUAAGCAAUUCUGCUGGAUAUUCGGGUCGGUUAUCCCUUAUCACACUGGGUCUUGAAACCGAGAUGACUUUGCUAUUAUUGGGCCAUCUGUCUCUGCCAUACAGAUUCGUAUAUACGGGAAUGCCAGUCGUCUGCUCCAUACUAAACAGCUAUUUAAUUCCCUCCCUAACACGCGUGUAAGCAAUUCUGUUGGAUGUUCGGGCCGGUUAUCUCUUAUCACACUGGGCCUUGAAAUCGAGAUGGAUGUGAGAAGACUGAGGCCCACGGGAGGCUCGACCUCGAGGCCGGGUGAUCCAGGCCGGCUCGUUGAAGACGCCUUUUAACCCUUGGGCUAAACUUGCGAUCAUGGACUGGGCCUUGUAUCGAGGUGGUGAAGCCCAGCGGUUAUCACAGACUAUUUUCCAAAAAAAGUCGAUCCAUAGCGUUUUAAUUUAUAAUAAUCGUAGAGUCAUCUAAAAGAGUCACUGUCAAAUUUCAGAAUUGAAUAAUGAUCGAUCCACAUUUUUUCGACAUUCAAGUAUUAUCAUUAAUUAACUAUACAAAACCAAAUCAUAAAUUGUACAAACAAAUUUAAAAACCAGAUUUACAUACUACAAAACCCACAAAAUUGAAAAACAAAAUCAUUCUAAAAUCAAAACUCAAGUAUCCAUUACCAAAGAAGGCAGCGGAACUUGAAAAAAGAAAAACUCUAACUCUUCCCUGUUCUCUCUUCUCUCUUCUCUUUCCCUGCAUUAUAAAAUAAUAGUUUAAUUUUAAUGAAAUUUGAAGAAAAUUUGUAUUGCCUGAAAAAGGGCAGACCUUAAUUAUAAUGUUGUGAAUAAAUUUAAUUGGGAUAUGUGAGUUUUGUUCCCUCCACUCUCAGCAACAAACCUGGAGUUUGAUUAUACAUGUUUCUAUAAUAAUAAAAAUAAUAAUAGGAUGUAUUUAUUGAUUGAAUUUAGAUUACUCCACCCAUUAAAUAAUCUAUUUUUUUUUCCUUUUUAUCACACGGCUGUUUUAUUAUAUUCUAUUAAAGAAUUAAUUAUUACAGACUUAUUAUUAUUAAAUAUGUGAUCUGAUGGUGUCCAUAAUUACGUACGCUUUUUCUUUUUUCUUGCCUAAUCAGUUGAAUAGGGGACCAGGCCGUGCCAGACUCAAUAUGAGUAUUUAGAAAUUAAUUUAUAAUUAAGCAUUAAUGAUUAUGAUAAUUAAACCUUAGAUUAUUGUAAUUAUAGUUGUGAGAUUUUAACCGUGGGUCUUAUGACCAAUCAGCAAUCAACUUUAGGUGGGUUCACGGAAAUAUGUUGCAUAUAAAUUAUAAAUUCAGAUAAAAAAAUACCAUAAAAAUCAGAAUUUUCCUUGUUUAAAAAUAUUAAAUAUUAAUUUUUAGGCUGAAUUUCUAAACUAUUAUUGAAGAGUAAAUAAAAUUAUUAUUUAUUAUAAUUUUAAAGUGUGAGGUAAGUAAGAUUAUAAGAUUUUUUUUAAAAAAAAAUUCUCUUAUUUAUAAUUAUGUAUUUAGUGUUACAUCAUUAAAAUUUAACGAUAUUAAUAAAAAAUUUUCAUUUUAUUAAUAUAAGGAAAUACAUACGAUGUUUUUGGUAAUGAUGAUUUGAGAUCCAGAAAAUAGGAUUUUACAAUGGGUUCUGUAAAACUGGAAAAAAUUUAGACCUAGAGUAGAGUAUUUAUCCUUUUAUAUAUUUUCUUUUAUUUGCUAGUGACGUGUUAAUAGAACGUGCAUCAUUGGUCCACCUGUCCCUGCUACAUUGAUACGAACGUACGAGGGAAUCAGAUCUUUGCCCCAUGCGUAACGGCCCCUUGAUUCUUUCCGGGCGCGCAUGCGGGUGGUCCCCUGUGACGGAUGGGUAGGCAGAAUCAAGGUUGAACCCAGAGAGGAUCUAUUCGUUGGGUCGACAAUACUGAGCCGGCCUGGUUGAAGAGACUAACGGGAGUCCGGUCUCAAGGCUGGCGGGUUGGGCUUAGACUAAAAGAGAGACUUGAGGGCCUCUAAGUACUGGGCUGAUAUCAUGGACUUAGCCCCAGACCGGGAUGGAGAAAUCCAGCGGUCAUUAGGUAAUAAAAUUAAUCCCAAAUUCUAAUUUAAAAAAUACAAAAGGUUUUUUAAUUACUUUUUGUAUUAUUUUUGUCAUAUCCACUUGUAUAAUAUUAAUAGAGUUUGUAAUUCUAUUAAUAAUACAACUUGAAGGACGGAUUUCAUGAAUUUAUAAAAAUGUUUGCAGAUAAUAUAAUUAUUUUUUAAAAUAUGUAGAUAAUAUAAUUAUUAACAAAUUGGUUUUUUUAUCUUAGGUGAUUAAAAAAAAUGUUUUAGUUUAAAUUUCACUAAAAACUUUCUUUCCUCCAUCCAAUGAAUGUUAAUAUUAAAAGAAAAUAUUAAAAAAUAAAAUUCCUUUAUAGAAAAUGAUAUUUUGAUUUAUUUUUAAAAAAAUAUUUGUAGAGGUGAUGGUGCUGUUGAAAGGAGAGAAGAGAGAAAAAGAAAGAAGAGAGCAUGAAGAACAUGGAAAAAAAAGAGCUUUGAACACAAGAGGUUUUGUGCUUUUUUUUUUCUUUUUUUUUUUUAUUUGUAUUACUUCUUUUUCUUUGCCUUUGAAUAAAGAAAGGCGUAGUUAGUUUCUUGAUGCCGCUGUCCUUCUAUGUUCUUCCUGGCAUAGUGGAUAUACCGGUUUUUGCUUGUUUUCUUUUUUUUUUUAUAUGUUUUAUUUUGGAUUUUCACAAGUUUUCAUAGUUGAUUUGUAGGAGAGUGCUUAUGAUGAACCCGUUUCUACAAGGAUUUCGACUCUGGUGUCCGGUAAGAGAAUCUUUACAUACGUGAUAUUGGCACUCCAGAACUGUACCGAUGCAUUUGGUGGUCACCGUUCCCUUAGACCUCUAUUGGCUGAGCUCUGCCGUUUCCCUCUUACCUUAUGUCUGUUCUGUGGUGUUCUACUUGUUUGUAGUCCUAUUUCGACAGUUUUAGUGCUUCUUUCAAUCCUACUAAGUUUAGCUUGAAUUCUCGAUCGGUGCUGGCGGUGUGUGAUUUAUCGAUGGGUGUAGUUGAUGUUUUGUUUUCUGUGUUUGGUUGGUUUGUUGUUUGUCAAUUUGGUUAAUUUACUGGUUUGAUUUUUUAAAGUUAUUUUGUUUUGAUUUUCUUUUUUUUAUUUUUAAAUGCUAAUUUUUUUAAAUUUUUAUUUAUAUUUGUUUGAGUUUUGGCUAUCCCUAUUUUUUUUCUUCUAUGUACAUUGUCUUAGUGAUCUUGUAGAAAUAAUAUAUAUUAUACAUGGAUUAAAAACUAAAUAUAUAGUAAUAUAUUUUGAUAUUUAACUAGCAUAAAAUAAUAUAUUAUAAUAUAUUUGAAAAAUAAAUGAAAAUAUAUAAAUGUCUAAUGAAAUUGAAAUUUAUGAAGUUUUUAAUUAAUUUUUUAAAAUAUAUGAAUUAACUUAAUGAAUAUCAAUAAUGAUAUAUUAUGAUGAUGGUAACGUUUUUAUAACUUACCUGCAUGGUAAUAGCCACACAUGUUGACUAAAAGAACAUGUUUGAAAUAAAGAUGGAGAGUGGAGAAAGAAAAAAACACUAAUAAAAAAUAAAAUAAAAAAAAAUAUUUAUGAAUUUAGUCUAGUUGUAAGUGUAUUUAAAUAAAUUUGACCGAUAUCACGUUAUACUUUUCUAAUUCUGAAUCUCUCUAGAAUGUUUCAUAAAAAUAUAAUUAAAAAUUUGUUUAGUAAUGGUCAUCUAAGAUUAUUUAUACAUAGAUUAAUGGAUGGAGGGGACAUGUAAUUAUGAGGAAAUGGCACAUGUUUGUCUAGGGUUCUUAAUUGCAUGCUCAUGUUAUUAUUGUUAUUUUUUGUUUAAGUUAUUAUUAUUAGUGGUGGUUUCAUGUUUGUGCAAUUAGUUUACACUUUAUAGCCUUGUAGAUAUUAUGAGUUUCAAACAAAUUUGGUAGGGCUAUAUUGGGAUCAAAUAUAAUUUUUUUAUAUUAAAUUUAUUAAAAAUUUAACCAUAUUAUAUUUUAAGAUGUGUUGAUUGCGUUGCAUCAAAAAUAUUAAAUUUUAAAGAGUAAUAAUAAAAAGUUAAGGAUAUAACUAGCCGAAAAAUAAAUAGAUUAAUGAUUGAUAACCGUCGAGUCUCUUACACUUAGUAGUGAGGCCGAGUUCUGAAUAAAAAUACAGACCCAAAAAAACUCAUCAUACUAUUUUCAAGUAGACAGGUCCAACAUUAUAAGUCCUAGUCUAGCGACGUGAAGUAGGCCGGAUCAGACAUGGGCGCAGGUCCAUCAAUAGUUAACCUAGCCCUGUAAUAUGACGUAGAACAGGCAGUCCAGUCACUUUGCAGCUCUACCAGCAUGCGCGUCGAAGGAAUUAAAUGACUGUUUGGCAUAAAGAGAUACUCUGAUUCGUCUAUCCAUAUGGCCUAAGUGACAGAAACAGAUAGUACUGUAAUAGAAAUAUGGUUAUACGUUACGAGCAGAUAAGAAAAAAAGGGAUAAAAUAAAAGAGAGUGAUAUUAUCUGACUAAAUUUACACACACAUUGUAAAAUUUUAUUAUUUAAAUUUUAGAAUAUCAACAAUCAUUAGGAUAGUUUUUUGAGAUUUCGCCGUGGACAAAUUACGUUAAUAAAAAUUGAUUCUCAAAAACCUAAAACGUUUAUCCGUUACCAAGUCUGUGAAACCAACUUUCUCUAAAAAUCAAUUUAUUAUUAUUCCAGUUUUUGAAAAAACAAUAAUAAAAAAAUAAAAGACUAAAUUUCUUUUAAAAUUAUGUAAUAAAAAUUAAAAAUAUUAAGUUUUAUCUUCCGAUUUAUAUUUAGUUGAUUUUGAAAGCUAAAUAAAUUCAAAUAUAAUCAAAUAAAUUGAGUAGAAUACAAUUUAAAUUUUAAAAUCUUAAUAAAUUAUUUUUUAAUGAUAAUUCGAGAGUAAAUUCGACCAUAAUUAUAUAAUUCACAUUAAAUUUGGCCUUUUGCCACAAAACAAUCAUUGGAUGAGGUUCUAAGGUGAUCUGGCCCAAUUCGUGAAUAAUUUAAGCCUGCCUUUGGAAAGUGGUAUCAAAGGCCUACUGGUCCAUCUAUAGAAAUUGCAAAUUUUUCCCCUUUUCAAUAUGAAAUCACGAUUUUUGUCCAAUUGUUUACCUUUUUCCUCUUUUGUUUUUUAAAAUAGGGGUGGGAGUCCAACCUUUGACCUCACAAAACUAUAAGGAUACACUUUCCACCAGACUAAGUUUCGAAGUGCGUUUACCUUUUUCCUCUGUCUCUCUCUUGUUUUUUAAUGUGCAAAUCAGAAAUAUGUAGAAACAAAUCUGAAUUAAAAACAUUCAGAAGAAAGAAAAAAAAAAAGCCAAAAUCAAAGAAUUGACAAUCACGGAAAAUUAAGAAUAUGACAAAAAAUAAUAAAUUUCUAUUUAUUUUAGAAAAAUAUUUUACAGUAAUAACAGUAGAUAACAGAAAUCACCAUUCUCCUAAAAUUUUAAUUUUUAAAUAGGAGGGCAUAUGAUAAAUAUGAAUUUAUUUUUAAUAAAAUGUUAUUUUUAACUUUUUUUAAUUUUUAUUUUUUUAUUGAUAUAACUAAAUGAAAACUUAUUUAGUUUAAAUUUAAUAAUUUACAAUUGUAUUUUUACUAAAAUAUAAUUUUAAUUAAAUUUAGAGUUAAUUUUGUAUAAUUUUAUUAAAUUUAAACUUAUUAAAUAUAUAUUUUAAUUUUUUAAAUAUAAGUAUUAUGUUAAUAAAUAUUUUAAUCCACUAAAUAUAAAUAUUAAUGUUCCUGAAAAUUUUAUUUCCUUCUUUUUCAAAAUAUGCUUGCACUUUAAAGUCGUUAAUGUCACUACAUUUGUUUAUAUAUAAAUUUAUUAAUUAAAUAAAAAAUAAUUUAUUUUAAAAAAUAUUUUCUUAAAAAAAUUUCUGAAUUUUCUCAAAAAAUAUUGUUUAUAUGUUAAUUAAUAUUUACAGAAAAAAAAUUUUUAAAUAAAAAUUGAAGAUAAAAUAUUAAAAAUAAAAUAUAAAAUUUCUCAAAAUUAUUUAAAUAUAUUUAUUAUUAAAUUAAAUCUAUGAAUGUUUUAAAUAAUAACAGAUUUUUUUCCCAUUAAUAAUGAAAGGGAAAGGUCAACUAGACAACCACUAUGCCAUAACAGUCAAAUUAUGAACGUCAAACGAGGGUAAUAUCGUCAAAUAAUAAUAAUAAUAAUAAUUGCUAUUAUUAUUAUUAUUAUUUUCUAUAUAAUCUUUUUUUCUUUUUGAUAAUUUUCUAUAUAAUCUUAGCAUCCCUAAGCUCACUCAGUCUCCAUUUACACACGCAACUUCUUCUGUUAUUACACUUUACUGUUCUCUCUCUCCUGCCUUCUCUCUGCAACCUCUCUGAUUUUAAGAUUUGCCUUGGAUCAACUCUCUGUUGCUUUGGAUCUGAGCAAGCAUAGUGCUUUGAUUUUCCAUCGUAAGUUAUUUAAUUGUAUUGCUGGUUUUUCCGCUUUGUAUCUCUCUAUUCUUUUGCUUUUUCAGUUUGGUUUGCCUUCUUUUUGGUUGCUAUGACAUAAUUGGAGUCGAUUUUGUAAGAUUCUUCUUGUUCAUUUAUCCCCUUUGCUUCUUUGAUCAAAAUUGCAAUUCAAUUUCUGUGAAAUUAGGAGUUUAACGGAAAGGUAUAGAAUUUCCUUGUUUGUUUAUUUAUUUUUUAAUGUUUCUUAUUGAAUUUGGGUUUUAUUUUCUGUGUUACUUGAUGGGUUUUUUUUUUUUUUUUUUUCCCUCGUUAGUUUGAGUUUGGUAAUUGGGUUUUUCAGGAUUUCCAAUAGUGAUUUUGUGGGGAAGUUAAUGGUUGGCAAGUUUGAUGUUUUUAUAAACUGAUGCCACUAUCAGUCUACUUGUUUUCUGAGAAUAUUCAAGAUAAGAAGAAAAAAGGAAUUCUGUUUUUUUUUUUGUCGUUUCACUUUCUGAUGAAGAAAAUGAAACAUAGGUUAGAUAUCAUUUUUAGGAUUUUGAUUACUGGGAAUCCUACAUAUUGAAAAAAGAAAGAAAUCUCUGUUGCCAACCAUGCUAAUUGUUUUGUCUUUCUAAACAGCCAAAAGAUUAUUCGUGGUUUCGUUGAGAAAUUUCCUUUAUAUGGUUCUAUCUGGUUAAAUUCCUUACCAUUUUGCUGAUUUUCACAUUUUUUUUUGCAGGAUAUUUCAUCAUAUACCUAGUUAUCUGUGGACUGUGGAUAAUUGAGUAGUGGAGUGAAGGAAAGCAACAUGCCUUGGUGGAGUCUAUCAGUUGAUGUGUUCCGCAAUGUUGUGCGAUUGAAUUUGUAUUGCAGGGUUAUCCUGUAAAUUAUUACUCCUACCAAACCUCAUUCAAUCUUCAAACUCUUGGCUUGUGAUUCUUCAGCAAACUGUUAAUGGGACCCACUUGCUUUCUUAUCUUUUAUUGUGAUAUUUAUAGUAUUAGCUAAGAUUACUAAAACAACUUCUGGUUAAAUUGAAGCUCCCUCUGUUUCUUUCCUUGUUUGAUCCAAUUCUUAUUUGAGGUUUCUGUUUCUGCGUCAUCCUCAUCUUGUUUCACAGAAAUUCUGUCCAUUUCUCAUCUGCAUAUCAAGCUUGCCAUACUCUUACUUUAUAUUUUUAGUUCAUUGUCUUGUUAUCUGGAUAUAUUGAGUUUUGAGUGGUCAAAAGAAGUUAUGGUGUGCCAAGCAGCAAGCCAGACAAGAUUUCGGGCAUUAAAGUAUGAGAAUGGAAUUGCUGGAAAGCCGAUAAUAAUAGUUAGAGUCAUUGCAUGCUAUCAACCAUUGCAGGAUUGCCAGGUUAGUAUUACCUCCUAUUUAUUAUUGCUUAAUCACUUAAUUGUUCGAGUGAUGCAAUCAACUAGCUUUUCUUUAUUCAAGAUAUACUAAGUGGCUUUCCUGUUGUUAAAUUCUUACAUAUUUUUUGGCUUUACCAGUCAAUUUUUGUGCUUAAUAAUGAUUGAAACCCAUUGAAUCACUCUUUCCAUGUUUUUGUUACUUUUCCCAGGCUGAGUACUUCCGCCACUUGCUUAAGCCCGUCACGUAGAUUGAUUACACAGUUGUGUUAUACUGUCAAGCUCAAAAUUUAUUGUUUCUAUUUUUUUUUCCUUGAAUUGUUCCUGAACGAAGAAGAAAGCUAAUUCAAUAUUGCAUAUUGAAGCUCAAACAUUGGUAUGUUUGGACCUUUUUUUUUUCAUCGUUUCUGAAGUUAAAAUGAUCAAGAACUCAUUAUGUAUCUUGUCUUUUAUUUUAUUUAUCAUAUACAGGUAAUUCUUUUGGUUGGAUGGUUAAAGCCAACAGUUCUUGGCUGUUCCCGCCUCAUUGUACUGGGCAAUCACAAAAUUUGAAUUGCAUGAGCACAUCAGUAGAGGCAGUGCAACCAGGAUAUUUGCCAGCAUGUGCGAACUCUGGCUUAUACACAUUGUCUGCAAAUGUGAUGAUGCCAGGGGUUGAAGACCCAUCCCUUCCAAGUUUGAACUCACAACAAAGUAAUGGAUAUGGGGAGUUACCUCAUAGUUUGCCCCCUUUCUUCCAGAACUCGUUUCCUGCCAUUUGCCCGUGUCCCAAAGAAAACUUUCCUGUGUUUCCUAAUGGGUUUUGCGGGGAGGCUUCACCAAAUGCAAUCCCUGGAUGUCAGCAGAAAUUUGCUAUUUUUGACCAGUCUGGGAAUGAAACGAGGUUAAUAUAUAGUGCUUUUUUAACUGCUGAUGUGAAACCAACUGUAGCUGCUAUAAAACCAGUUGGUGGUUCUUGUUUGCGUAAUGGAGAAAAUGCAGCUAAAAUGGACCAAAUCAAUCAAACAGUGCUGAAGUUGCCGGAAGUAUCAGAUGAGAAUAACUUAAGUGGUGAAGAAAGUGAGAUGCAUGAAGACACUGAAGAAAUCAAUGCCUUACUUUACUCCGAUGAUGAAGAUGAUGAGUAUACUGGUGGUGAUGAAGAUGAUGAGUAUGUUGGUGGUGGUGGUGGUGAUGAUGAUGAUUAUGAUGAUGAAGUAACAAGCACCGGUCACUCUCCUUUUCUGAUUAGUAGUAGUGGGAUGCGAGGACAUGUAGAGGAUAUAACAGAAGAAGUAGCUGGUUCUGAUGGUCAGAACAAAAGGCAGAAAUUGCUUGAUGGUGGGUGCAAAAGAAAAUCACUAGCAGACACUGCUAGUUUGACAGAACUCGCCGGAGUUCGGGGGUAUGUUUUUGAUAAUGAAGAAUCAAGCUAUGCUUUUGGCCAAAAUCAAGUAGAGGAAAGGCUUGUCGUUUGGGGGAACAAGCAAUUGAAAAAAGAUAAGAUUCGUGCAACAUUGAAAAUUCUGGAAAGCAUAAUUCCAGGGGCAAAGGACAAGGAUCCAUUAUUGGUUCUUGAUGUGGCUAUAGAUUACUUGAAGUCUUUGAAGUUUAAAGCCAAAACUCUAGGAGUGAACUACUUUUAAGUUUCACUCCUUCCUGCUUCCGUAUUAGUAUGUUGGCUAGUGGGUGGAAGGAAGAAUGAAGAAAAGUAGCAAUCCAAGAGUUCUUGGCUUGAAUGAUUGAUGAGUUUGAAAUCACUAUAAUAGCUUUUCUGAUGUGGUGUAAGCUUUUGGCUUUUUACCUCAAGUCCUGUAUAUAAUGUGCCAAUAAAAGGAGUAGUGGGAAGAUACAUAGCAAUUUGCUUGCAAGGGCUGAAGGAAAAAUGGGGUUUGGUUUGUUGACCACAGAAGAUAUCUUUUAGCUUUAUUGAAGAUUAAAGGUUAACAAAAGUCUAAAGAUUUGAAUGCAUGGGAUGAUGUUAGUGGUGGGUUGUUCAGCAAAUAAGAAGAAUUUCUUUGCCUAAGCGUUGAGAACCCCUAUGGUUUUAGUGCAUGCGCGUUAGGUAAUUUGGGUCCCACCCUCCACCCUUUCUUUGCUUUGAUUUUAUGCAGUUGUCUUCCUCUCUUUACCCUCCCACAUAAAUCAUAUUGGUGUUAAACUCUAUUGAAGUACCAAGAAAGUUUCAGUCAUAUGGGAAUACUGUAGAGGAGCACGGUAUCUCGUCGUGAAUUGUUGGGGUCCACUCCUUUUCAUCAAGUAAUCUCUUUACUUGCAUGUUUUCGCACGUGAUUGUUGGUGGUAGCUAUGGUACUUCUACAGUAUGCUGUGACAUGAGACCAUGGUCAUUCAAUAAAGUCCUUGGAACCCAGUAUGGUGUCUGUCAGUUUUCUGUGUUCAUUACUAGUAGUGAGUGUGAAUUUGGUGUUUAGUAGAAGAGUGGGAGUGAUUGAAUUGAAUGUAUCUUUUUAUUUUGGCCCUUUUUUUUCUUUCUAUUUUGUUCUUCCUUCUGUCCUGUGGAUGCAUGUGUCUGUAUUGGAAAAGAGAACAUGGUGUGUUGUGAUUUCAUUAAUAUAAAGAUGUUUUCUUGUGACUCUGAUGAGUAAUGUGGGGGCUAGAGAAUCCUGAGCUGAUUUUACAGAUGGUGCUUUUGCCAAAUUAUACUUUGUACCGGGACUCUAAUUACAGGCUCCAUGUGAUACUGAUUUGCUUGAAAAUGUGUGUUUUGAACCCAUGUUUAAAAGGUAUGGUGGUUUUGCCAUAUUCUUGCAAAGAAUGCAAAGGACAAAUGUGCUCCUAUGCGCUGCUUUUGUCUGGUUUCUCACCACUAUUAACUUUUUCUUUUUUCCUUUGUUUUUUUUCCAAAAAUAAAAGGGAUGGAAGGUUGGAGUAUUGAAUUUGAAUUCAGCUAAAUGUAUUCUUUAAUGAGUGAAAUUGCUAGAUUUUCUUUCUUUCGUUUUUGUUUUGAAAAUAUUGAGUUUCACUGGUAUGAACGGUCAGUAAUUACUAGUGCUUGAAUAAUGGAGAGACAGAGAGCGCGAGUGAAGGUGCCAGUGUUUUUAAGUGAGCAGUGUUGGAUUUAAAUCGAAUUUAAUUAAUUUAAAAUUUUAAUUUAAUUUUUUAUUUAUUUUAAUUUGAUUUGAUUGGAUUUAAUUUUUAAUUUUAAAAAUUUUAAUUAUUUCUGUUUGAUUUAAUUUUAAUAAAAAAAUUAAAAAAAUUAAAUCUAAUUUAUUAAUAAUAAUAAUAUUUUUUUAAUAAUAUAAAUAGAUUAUAUUAAAAUUAAAAUAUUUCAAUUAAAUUUUAAAAUAGGUAAAAAAUAAAAUAUUUAUUAAAAAUUUAAAUUGAUAAAAUCGAAUCAAAUUGAAUUGAAUCAAAUUGAUUUGAUUCAAUUUAAUUUCUAACUAAAAUUAAUUCAAUUUAAUUUUCAUAAAUAUCAAAAUUUUAAUUUUUGAUUUUAAACCGGGCUCACUCAAAAUCAUGGUACAUGAUCCGGUAAUCCUAUUGGGAGUCACUUAUGACAUGCUGGCAUUAAAGAUGCUUUAAUAUUAGGGGGAAUUCAGAAUUCGAAAUUUUUUUUAAAAAAAAUAAGAGCUGAGCAUAUACUCAUAUAUAUAUAUAUAUAUAUAUAUAUGAAUACUUUUAUUUGGGCCAAACCCGCCUCUAAUGGUGGUGCUUGCCAAGCAGGCACUCCAUGAAAACCCACUUUGUUUUGCAGGGAACAUUGGGCGUGUCAUCCGCAGCAUGAAAUGAACUACUCAAUGAAGUUCGCAUUAUUUCAAGCAAUAAACAACUACAUUACACUGUGAAGAAAGAAAAGUAGCACUAUGGCCAAAAGAGGCUUAGGCUUAUCUGAUCUCUCCACUCCACGUAUCCCAUCUCUACAUAUUGCAUAAAGUCUGAUAGCUCAAAAAUCCCUUUUUUGAAUUUUUUUUUUCCCUAGCAACCAAUCCAUUGUCAGUGCUUGCUAUUAUACUGUGUAAAUAACCAUGCACCUUCAGUUUAGAGUUGGGUCCCUUUGCCUCUGAAAUUCUGCUUACUCUUUUUAUGUGGCCUAGAUUCUUGGGUUUUAACCGUAGAAUUCAGAGGGCUUUUUUACUUUUCUUUUCUUUUCCUUUUUGCCCAUGCCAUUUUAAUUGGACAAACCAAGAAUUUGAACAUAAUCGUUUCCCCCUUUCUGGUAUGUAAGCGUACAGAGAAGAAAUUACGUAGCGUUUCUGUCAUGUAAAUCUCUUUCCCUAUUGAAGUGCGUUAAAGCCAAAAUAAUUUUUUUAGUUUAAAUAGCAUUGGCCUGAAGACUACAUUUUCAGAGAUCAUCAUUAUAGAUUUUCUUUUUCUUUUUUUCAUCCGUUUCAAAUUAUAAUUCAUUUUCAUUUUUAAAUAAAUAUAAAAAUAUUUUUAUUAAUUUCAAAAUUAAUUUAUUAAUAUGAAUUACUUAAAUUUUUAAUGAAAUAAUAUAAAUGGAGGGUAUAUUAGUAUAUCAUACAAAAUUUAUUGCUUUUAUCCUUGUUAACUGCUUUUUCUUAAAUUAAGUGAAAAUAUAAGUAGUCCUACUAAAUUAGCCAGUUGAGUUAAUUAAUAUAUUAAAGCAAUACAUUUUUAAUUAAUACUAAUUUUUAUUCAUAUUUCUUUUUUUUUAUCCUAAAAUUAUUGUUCACUUUUCUUUUUAUACUAUAAUAAUAUAUAAAUUGACUAUUGAUGAACUGAGAUUCAGUAGGGUUAUUAGAUGUGAAUACCUAGAUUGUGAUUUGAUUCAAUGGGCAGAUCAAUGAACUGUGUGAUUGAUUUGAUGAAGAGUGAAUGCCUUUAAAAUUUUAUAUGGGUCUCUCCAUUCUUGAUCUUGAGAAAGGGGUCUACAAAAUAUGGGAAAAUAGUCAAGGGUCUACCGGAGAUUCCUGGUGAAGACCUUUCGACGUUCAAAUCAUAUUUAAAAAUUUUAGAGUGAUGCCUUAAUUUAAAGAGAUGCAAAGAGAAGUAAAAAUAGAGAAGAAAAGAGAGAAAGGAAGCUUCAGAGAAAAAAGAGAGAGGAUGUGUAAAAGAGUAAGUGUGAUCGUGUGUGUGAGAGAGUUGGAGAAUCCAAGAGAAAAAGCCCUCUUUUUGGAUUAGAUCAAUGGUAUAUAUACCUCUAAUUGUUCUGACAUCUCUUGUAUCAUAUCCCAUCGGAUUGGACAUGGAUAUCCUUUUGCAGGUGUGUUGGAUGACUUAUUAAUGAUGGGCGAUUGGAUAAUAAAUGCGGAGCUGGCUAGUUCAUAUCAUGUCUAUUAUGUGUAUCAUGUCAAUGUAUUUUCUGCAAACGUAUUUUAUGACUCCAGUGAUGUAUUGAAAAUACAACCAAUAUGUAGGAGGUCGACAUCUUAUCCUAGUCUUAUCAGAUCGUACUCGGCUCACCCGAUCUGUAUUGAGGUGGAUUCCCCCUAGUCACUUAUGAUUGGUCGCGUUUGCAUCCAAUACCGAGUCUUAAAUAAGUCUGCCUGUCUAUUUUGAGCUUUGACUGAGUCAGGAGUGUUGCUAUGAUCUUUAUAACUUAUAGGUCGGGCUUUUUGCUACACGGUCGGACCAGACGGCGAGGUUCAUGGAACCCUUCUUAAUCUCAUGUACACGUGUCAUAAUCUUAAUGGACCUGUUAUUUAUAUGUUAUCAGAUGCCAUUUUGCUUCUCCGAAGAUUAUUUAUGAUAGUUGGAGAAGCGAAUUUAAACUUAUGGAGCCGUUAUGAACGGUUUACGACGCAUUUCCCUUCAGGAAACACGCCCUUAUCAUCAUCAAUUGUCGAACAGGUGCCAUCAAAUGAAGGCAAUGAUUAUCGGGGGUUUUCGAAGAAUCUCCACCCGAGAUCGUUUUGGAAAUUUGAAAUUUGAAUUCUACGGUCUAUAAAAGCCUUCUUCUGAAUGCUUUAGUAUGCUUUGGUGUUUUGAACUUUGCCUUUCUGAUUUGAAAUCUCCUCUUUCUUCAUUUUCUUUAUUGGGUUUUUCUGCUAUAGGUACGUCUCCUUCUGCCAUGGCUUCUAUUGAGUUUCCUCUAGUCGAGAGGCUCCCUUCUAACGUUACCUCUAGUAACCUUCAUCAGGCUAUUCCUAAGAAGGUUUUAUCCACUCAUUAUUAUAUUUGAACUCCUCAUUCUACUGAGCGAAUUGUGCU
This 53821-nucleotide long non-coding RNA is filed under the name Manihot esculenta (cassava). RNAcentral's name for it is "long non-coding RNA (MESC_LNC006158)". Lineage: Eukaryota; Viridiplantae; Streptophyta; Magnoliopsida; Malpighiales; Euphorbiaceae. The record is from RNAcentral.